AAAAAAUGCCGCUAACGACAACGUCGCAAAUUUUUGCGGCGCUUACAGAAAAAAAUGCCACUAAAGAUCAUGUUCUUUAGCGGCCCUUAGAAAAAAACGCCGCUAAAGAUCAUGUUCUUUAGCGGCGCUAAAAAAAUAAACGCCACUAAAGACCAUCUUUUUUAGCGGCGCUAAAAAAUAAACGCCACUAAAGACCAUGUUCUUUAGCGGCGCUUUAGAAAUAAACGCCACUAAAGAGCAUGUUCUUUAGCGGCGCUUAGAAAUAAACGCCACUAAAGAUCAUGUUCUUUAGCGGCGCUAAGGAAAUAAACGCCGCUAAAGAUCAUGUUAUUUAGCGGCGCUUAAGAAAAAAACGCCGCUAAAGAUCAUGUUCUUUAGCGGCGCUUUGAAAGAAAACGCCUCUAAAAGUAAUGUUCUAUAGCGGCGCUUGUUUAAAAACGCCGCUAAAAGUAGUAUUCUUUUAGCAGCGCUUAUUUCAGAAAUGCCACUGUUUGAUAUGACUUUUAGCGGCGCUUUUUUAAAAAACGCCACUAAUUUUAGGAUUUUUUUUAAAUAAAACUUUCUGUUUUUUUCUGCCCUCCUGCAACAAAAAAUUAAAAGCAACCAAAUCUAAACUAACAAAAAACAAUAAAUUUAUAUAAUAUUUCAAAUUAAAUGACUAAAAUAAUAUUAAUUUAUAUAAAUAAAAUUGAAUUCAUACUUUUCUUUACAAAAGCGUUAAAAGUAUUUAUGCAACAUACACUAUGACGGCGGAAGUUGCGACUGCUGAAACAUCUUCAUCAUAAUCUGAAGCUGCUGUUGAAGUUCGUUGUACUUUUUGCUCUGCUCCGCUUCUCUCGAUGCCGCAUCUUUUUGAAGUCGUAGCUAUAGUUCUUCAUAUUUCUUUUGAACCUCUGCUUCUAUCGCUGCUUCUCUCGCUGCUUCUCUCGCUGCGGCCUCUGCUUCUCUCGCUGUGGCCUCUGCUUUAAGUUGUUGCUGAAGUUCUUCAUAUUUCCUUUGAACCUCAAAUGUGAUCGCUUGCAUCUGAGCCAUCUGGUCUUUUAACCUCUGAACUUCAGCUUGAGAUUGACUCCCCGAAGCCAUGUAUUGGUGCGAGCUGGAUCCAAAAUAUUGGGUUGGGCUGAUAAAAGAUCCUUGAAAUCGAACCCGACCAUACUUUUCAGGACCCAAUACUUCAGUAAUAAUCCGGUUAUCAAUGUCUUCAAGAUGAACAGAACUAUCACUAGAAGCAAUCGCUUCGUACUCCGUCUUUUUUUCCUUUAGUUUUUCCUAAUAAAUAAAUCACAUAGUUAGGAACGCAAUAUAUAUAGUAAAAAAAACAAAUGCAAUAUAACAAUAGUCGCAUUACAAGCAAUGAAUUAAACCAUUAGAAAAUAAACACUAUAAAUAACUAAAACAAGUGAAAUCAUAUUAAGUAAACGUACCAUAAUUUCACCAGCUUCAGGAGUCAUAGCAGAUCCAUCUUUUUUCUUAUGUGUAAUUUCAAAAAGUUGUAGGCGUCCAACUUUUUGACCGGAUGACCGUUCCUACAAUAUAGUAGUAAAAAUAUUAUUUAAUAGAAAGUUAUACAUAUUUGAGAAUAUUAAAAAAUUAAAAAUACCUCCGCCUCAGCUACACAUGCAAAACUUCUCGACCCGGCUGUGUGAGUGAAUUUUUGUUGCUGCCGGCUGCUUUUUCCAACUCGCUCACGAUCCUACGUUAUAAAAUUUUUAGUACGUAAAUAGUAAAUACUAUAAACCAAAAUAAUUACAAUAGUUUGGAAGUACGUCGUACCUCGCCUUUCUGAGAAUACCAAAAUCUAACCGCAUCUUCCCAUUGGUACCUCAACAUACCCGGCGGGACAUUUUGCAAUUUCUCAUCGAGGGUGGUUUUUGUCUUAUAAUAAUUUUUCUUCAAAGUACUUUUACUGUCUCUCCAUCUUUUUCCCAAUGCCUUCUUUACAUAAGCAUCGGAGACCUCUAAAGCAAAUAAAGUAAAUAUAAAUGAAACUAUUUCCCAAGCAUUACAGAUGACAUUAACAUUUUGUUACCUUAAUAUUAUCGAAGGCUUGGUUUUUGUUGCUAUCGGGCAUUUGACGCCAUGACUCGUAGUUGAUAGGCAACAUAUUCGGAUUUCGUGCUAAAAUGCCCAUGUAUCCUGCUAAAAGUCGAGCUUCUGAUUCAACAGGCUGACCAAAACUGUUUCUGCGUACCUUGACACGCUCGGCUGGAUCUAACUCGUAUAACUCUCUAAGUAGCGUACGUCCUCGACCUCUACGCGUCCCACCAUUUUCAGCUACAAAUGGUAUAUUAUAAUAUAAGAAUUUGAAAAAUAAAUCAAUUAUAAGUUAACACGCAUGGAAUUAAUGUAAGUUACUUUGAACUUCCGUAAGAUCCUCGUGUGUAAUCGAAACAUUCGAAGAUCCAAUUGCUGUCUGUUGUUCAGUACUAUUUGUUUCUAUCGAGUUUGGAUCAUUUUGAACAAUGCUUUCCCUUAUAAUUUUUCUUCUAGGCAUUUUAUCUGCAAUACACAUAAAAUGUAAUUAAACUUAAUAAUUAAUUACAACAAUAACAGCACAUAUAAAAUAGUUGAGUUAUAUAAUAAGACCAAGAUUUAAUACUAAUGUAAGUAUAUAAUUAAACAAUCGUAAAAUCUUACUACAUCAUUAUUCGUAAAAAUCUUCAUCCGUAUCCUGACGAACCCAUUGAAAUUGUGCACUAGUACUAAGGGUAUUAUCGUUUAAGUUUUGUUCUGGAAAUGGAAAAGUUUUUGAUCUGUCGUCGAUGUUAUCUCUACUUCCACUGCCCAUGUCAAACAAGUCUCUAGGGAUGUUACGGAGUACAACGUACCAACCCUCAUCAGUUGGAUCUUUUGAGUAAAAAACUUGUUUGACUUGACUUGAGAAUACAUACGGCUCAUCUAUCAGUUGUUGUCCUGUGUGAAUCAAUCGGUCAAAGUUCACCAUUGUAAAACCAAAUUGAUCUUGCUUGAUUCCACGAGCUGUAUUAACAUCGGCCCAAUCACCUCGAAAUAAGACAACUUUCCAUUUGCCGUAGUAAUCCAACUCAAUUAUGUCAGUAAGCUGUCCGAAAUAUUCCACAUUUCCCUCGACUGGAUUAUUGUCCCUAGCGCUAGCAUAACUUGUAAUUGCAGAAUUAACAACUAUUCCACAAUUUUGCGUUCUCCUCAACCUCUCGCGAUAUUUUGUAUGAAAUCUGAAUCCGUUGAUGAGGAACGCACUAUAUCUUUUAACCACUCGAUUUGGACAUUGGGAGAGCCAUUUAACUUCGUCGUUUACGCUCUUCCCAUUCGAAACCUAUUGAAUGGAAAGUAAACUAAGUACUUAAAAAUGUUAUGAGAAAGCAUUAUUAUUUGUAAGCGAAAGCUCCAACUACAUACCGUUUGGCUUAACCAUUCAUAAAAAGAUUCUGUAAACAACUUCUUGAUAUCUCGAUGUUGUGUUCUUCGGUUGCGCGAACGAGAUCUCAAUAUUUGUUUGUACUCACUAUAUAUGUUAAAAAAAUGUGAUCUUUGUUAGAAGAUAAACAAUUUUUAGUUUGAUAAAUAUUUAUAAAAUUUGUAGAACUUACUUCCGUAAAGGUUCCAAUGAUUCGUGGUGAAACAGAACAUAUCGUUGUGCUUGUACCCACAAUAAAUUAUCUAAUUCCGCAAUUUCAACUUUGCCGAUUGGUUGUCCAGAACUUUGGAACAAAUAAGUACUAUCGGCUAAGUUAUAGUCUGUGAGUCCAGCAUUCCUAUUUGGUCUGUUCAACCUUGUUUCGACAUCUUCCAAAUAUCUUGAGCAGAAGGUCAUACAUUCCUCUGCCAAGUAGCCUUCAGCAAUCGAUCCUUCUGGAUAUCGCUUGUUGCGACAAUAAGACUUUAAUUUGGAUAGGAACCUAAACACAAUAUACAACAUUAUCAUAAGUUGUAACUAUAGGCAUAGAGGUGAAUGAAAGAAAAUUUUAAAAAUACUUCUUUAACACCUUUCUAUGGGAUACAUCCAUCGAUAGAAAACGGGUCCGCAUACAUCCUCGACUGUGCAUCAUUUUCAUCGUCGUUCCCAUCUUCUGUGUUUCUAUUUAUCCAACGGGAGUGGCCGCAUACAUGACAGCACUGUUGGUUUUUCCGAUCGCCCCAAUACAACAUGCAGUCAUUUGGGCAACUAUGGAUUUUGUUGUACCCAAGGCCUAAAUCUUUUAUCAUUUUCUUCAUAUCUUUGCAUGACUGAGGGAUUUUUGUAAACGGAAACAUUUCUCUCAAAAACUCUAGUAGCAUUGUCAACGAGUUUUCGGUCCACCCUCCCAAACAUUUUAACUGAAAAAGACGAACACAGAAGGCCAUUUUUGAAAAUUUUGAUCCCUCAUACAAUUCUUCGUUCAUGUCAUUAAGUAGAGCGUAGAACUUCGCCGCUUCUCUAUUUGGCUCUUCAUGAGGUACACUACUUCCCGGUUUGGUAAAAGUAGUUCCACCGACGUUACAAUCAUCAUAUGCCAUAAAAUCCCCUGGGAACGAUUACACACCAUGAUUGUGCAUAUUAAAUGCAUCCCGCAACAUACCUUCCAUGUCAUCCCCUCUAUCAGACUAAUGGUAAGCAGUCCCAGGAUAAGAUACAUCCAUCGUUAAAGAGGAAGUACUUCUAGGGCAUUCUCCAUGAAAAAUCUAUUGCUUAUAACCCUUAACAAACCCAUCAACAAUUAGAUGCUCGUAUACAACCUCACGAUAAUGCCAGUUUAGGUUGACACACUUUUUACACGGGCAAAGAAUCAUGUUCUCUUGGCUUGCAUAUUGAAAUGCAAAAUUUAGAAAACUCUGCACCCCAUUUCGAUAACCGUCGCUUACCCUUGACAAAUUUAUCCAAGACCGGUCCAUUUCUUAAUUCUUGAAGUCUGACGUUGACAAUAAAUUGCACGGUUUUAGGAUUUGACAACAAGAUAUACAUUAUAUAAGUUAUGUAAGUUAUGUAAGUUAUGUAAGUUGUGUAAGUUGCGUAAGAUGUGUAUUAUGAAACUUAUGUAAGUUAUGUCUUAUGUAAGUUAUGUAAAUUAUGUAUUAUUUACACAUGUAAGUUAUGUCUUAUGUAAGUUGCGUAAGUUGUGUAUUAUGAAAGUUAUAUCUUAUGUAAGUUAUGUAGGGUAUGUAUUAUUAUGUAACUUAUUUAAUUUAUGUAGGGUAUGUAUUAUUAUGUAACUUAUUUAAUUUAUGUAGGGUAUGUAAGUUAUGUAAGCUCUGUAUUAUUUACGCAUGUAAGUUGUGUAUUAUGUAUUAUUACGUAAGUUAUGUAGGGUAUGUAUAAUAUUAAAAAAAUAGUAAUAUACUUAUUUAAGUUAUAAAUUUAUUAUUAAUAAAAUUUAAAUAUAGCUUACAUACGUAAAUGAAUAUAUGUAUAAUAUUAAAAAAAUAGUAAAACUUAUUUAAGUUAUAAAUUUAUUAUUAAUAAAAUUUAAAUAUAGCUUACAUACGUAAAUGAAUAUAUGUAUAAUAUUAAAAAAAAUAGUAAUACUUAUUUAAGUUAUAAAUUUAAACUUAAAAAUAAAUUAAAAGUUUGAAAUUUUUUGUAAGUUAUCUAAAAUUAAACUUAAAAAUAAAUUAAAAGUUUGAAAUUUUUUUCCAUGAUUAAAAUUAAAUAAAAGAAAACAAAACAAACUAAAUUUCGGGGAUUAAAAUAGCAACUAAAGGAAAAAAAUUUGUUUUGGAGGAAAACAUAUAAAUAUUUGCAAACUAUACGGGCUUUAACCAAAUGUUUAUAUUAUUUAGACAUAAAUAACCUUCAUUUUCGAAAUAAUUUACUUGUUAUAUGGAAUAAUAUGUAUACAACAGUUAACCAUGUUUUAUAUCAAUGAAACUGAAAUGUGAAAAGAAAUUGGAUUAAUUUGUUAUUGAAUGUAACGUAUAGUUCCGAAAUUUUGAAUAAUUUUAAAAUAAAAAAAUUUAAUCCAAUUUAUUAAAUUUAUUAAAUUGCUUCUAUUUUGCUCAACAUAUAUAGCAAUCGUUGAUGGAUGAUAACAAAAAACAUAAGUCAGAAAAGUACAUGGCAAUUGUAAAAUAAGUAAAAUGAAACAUAAGCUAGAGGAAAAUAACCAAAACCAAUUACAUGUAUACAAAACCAGAGCCCCAAAAGAAACAUUUUUCAAAAAUCAUCUUGCUAUUUCCAUAUAAUAUUCACAAAAAGUCAGACCAUUUUAGUUUAUAGAUUUACUUACCACUAUAUUACAGUUUAAAAUUUUUAAAAAUACAAGAACUAAACUUGAUCAAAUUUCUGAAUCGGUAGUAAGUCCAUAUGAUUAACUGUGCAGUGACUAAUAAGUCCAUACUUCAACAACAAAUGUUAUCAUUAAUCUAGACAAUAAAAGCAAAAGAAUCAAAAAAAAGAAUGAAUCUCAAAGUUCAGCCUAAUAAAGAGGUUGAAAGAAGAUUUAUACCAAAAAUAUUACUUUGCUCAGAAUGUAAUUUGAACUUACAAAUUUUGAACAGUGCUGUAGUGUUCCGUUCCUUGCCACUACUGGAUUUUUGUAAUAGUAUGUAUAGUAGCCCUGCCAUAGCAAACAUUAAUAGAUGUGAAUCAAUAGGUUUUGAGAAUGAAUCUCAACAUCAAUAACCUACCCCUCAUCCUGAGCUAUUUUCGACAGAAAAGAAAUAAAUGAUUAACCAAGGUAGUAACGUACUAAGUUUACAGAGAAGAAUUCUUCUCUUAAAACCAUUUUCAUUGUCUGAUCGAAAUGGUUAAGGUUAUGAAAAUUAUUACCUAAAAAUGUUCUUACUUUCUUAACCCUAAUUUGAAUUUACCGUAUUAAUACCUAAAAAUGAUCUUACUUUCUUAACCCUAGUUUGAAUUUUCUUAUUUCAAUGGCUACUUGUCACUUCAGUGGCUAUUUCUCAACUAAAUACGACGACCCUCAUCAGUCGGCUAGGUAGAAUAAAAACUGAAUUGUAUGUUUAAAAAUUAAACUGUACGAAAAAAAGGAAUAAUGUGAAAACUAAAAUAUGUGAAAACUAUUGCAUUUCACGAAUAAAUAUAGAUGAAAAUGCUGAAAUAUGUGAAAAAUGAAAACCCUUGAACUACCGUCGGCAAGAGAACAAACCUCUAAGCUGGCGAUUUCAAGGUUGCCGAUUUCGGGAAACUCGUUGGGCUGCCGAUUUUCGGGUGAACUUAGGGAUUUCAGGGGGAAUUCUCUAAAAAUCUUAAAGUUUGGGGAACUAAUUAGGGCUGCUGGGGAAAUGAAUGUCGAAAGUCUGCUAGGGAAGAAAGGGGAAAUAAAAAUCGGAGUAAGAGGAAAACGGAGGGGAAGCAAACGACGACGUUUUGCUAAAUGAAAUAAACCCUUGUGGCUUUUAACUAGACGUGCCGCUAAAUCCAUGGAAAUUGCGGCGUUUCAAAACAAACGCCACUAAAAACCCACAAAAAUGGUGACGUUUGCAUUAAUACAACACAAGGAAUUCCGACGUUUUUGACAUUGCGCCUCUAAAUCCUGCAGCAUUUACGGCGUUUGACCAAAAACGCCACUAAAGAAGCUAUCAACACGGUGCCGUUUUGCUGAACACAGAUUCAGGGUAAGGGCAAAACAGAGGACAGAAAAACGAUGACGUUUGAGUAAUAGAAAUAAACUAUUGCGGCAUUUAUUAGAAACGCCGCUAAAUUUCUACCUACUGCGGCGUUUAAUCCAAAACGCCACUAGAGAACCUCCAAAACGGCCGCGUUUGGGUUAAUAGAAAAUGACGUUUGCAUUAAUACAACACAAGGAAUUGCGGCGUUUUUGACAUUGCGCCUCUAAAUCCUGCACAUUUACGGCGUUUCACCAAAAACGCCACUUGUGAAGCCAUUAACACAGCGUCGUUUAGAUAAAAAUAGAAUUAGAACGAGGGAGAAAAUGUAGGAGACCAAAACGACGGCGUUUUACUCUCUGCAAUAAAUGUUUGCGGCGUUUAACUAAAAACGCCGCUGGAUACACACAAAACACAGCCGUUUUGAUAAACACAACGCCGUUUUCAUUAAAAUAUCUUAUCUUUUUGCGGCGUUUUCUGUAUUGCGCCGCUAUAGGUCUACAUAUUGCGGCGUUUCUCUGAAAACGCCACUAAAUAAGCCUAUUGAACGGCACCGUUUUUAUGACAACAUAAUUCCUUUAGUAUGAAAUUUGUUUCUAUAUUUGAAAGGUUUAAUUAUUUCUUAAAUAAAUUUAAAUUAAAUUUGUUCUGUUCCACGCUAUAUAUUUAAUAUGUAAAAUUUUAAUUAUAAUUGUAUACAUGAAAAUAAUUUUAAAUAAUAUCAAAACUCGAGCUAGAUAUAUGUCUUCCUUCUGAAGAAUAUUAUGUAAUUUUUUGUAUUAAAUUAAGAAGGCAAAGCUUAUGAUGUUACGAUAGAAUCGAAAAAAAUUAGACGGAUCAAAACAAUCCGAAAUAGAUGUUCAUGAAUAUUGGUUAAUAGAAAGGAUCGAUAUAUAUAUAAUUCUAUUCCCUUGACUGAUCUUGAUUUUAGUUCAACUAGUAUUCGUGUCUGCGCCAUUCUUCAAACAAGAGCACGAACAUAUGACAUUGUAAGAACCCUACAAUUAGUAAGGGUGAAAAACGCUUCAUUAAAAACACUAAUUAAUCAAAACCCCGAAACACUAAACCCCAAAAUUAUACACCCUAAACACUAAUCCCAAUUACCCCUAAACUUUAAACCCCAGCACUUAAACCCUAAACCAUAAAACAUAAUCACUAAACCCAUAAUCCAUAAACCUUAAAUUGUAACUCUUAAAUCUUAAACCAUAAACCUUAAAGCAUAACCCUUAAACCCUAAACUGUAAAACCAAACCCUAAAUAUAUCCCCAUAACCCCUUAAAGCAUAACCCCUAAAUCCCCCUAACCCCUAAGUCAUAACACCUAACCCUUAAACCACAAAACCUUGAACCUUAAUUCCUAAACCUUAAAUCCAUACCCUGACCUACUCAUGAUUAAACUCUAAACCAUAUACUAUAAUGAUAAUUAAUUCAAUAUUUUAAAAUUAAUACUACCUUUUUUACGAUUAUAUAAGAAAUUAUUUAAUAUAUAAACUAAAAAAAUCAGUAAUGUAUCCAAAAAACUUUAAAAAUAUUUUAAAUAAAUUUAUUUAAAUCCCUGAGCAUUAGCGGCGCUUUAUUAAAAACGCCGCUAAACCCCUGAAAAGCUAAGAAAAUGGUGUCGUUGGGUUAAAUUUUUUUUGCGGCGCUUUCAUAAAAGCGCCGCUAAAAACUCAGCAUUAGCGGCGCUUUAUUAUAAACGCCGCUAAACCCCUGAAAAGCUAAGAAAACGGUGUCGUUGGGUUAAAUUUUUUUGCGGCGCUUUUAUUAAAGCGUCGCUAAAAACCCAGCAUUAGUGGCGCUUUACUAAAAACGCCGCUAAAUCCCCGAAAGCAAAGAAAACGGUGUCGUUGGGUUUAUUUUUUUUGCGGCGCUUCCAUAAAAACGCCGCGAAAGCCCUGCAUUAGCGGCGCAUUAUUAAAAACGCCGCUAAACCCCCCCCGGAAGCUUAGAAAACGGCGUCGUUGGGCUUAGUUUUUUAAAGCGCCGCUAAUUCUUAUUUUCAGUGGCGUUUUCAAUUCAGUGCCGCUAAUGAUCGAUCUUUAGCGGCGUUUGUUAUUAAAACGCCGCUAAAUACACCGCUAAAAGCCUAUUUUGGUGUAGUGUAUCCAUAAUUAAUUUUAAAUAUAUAUAUAUAACAAUGAAAAGUUAAGAAAUUUCAAAAAAAAAAAAAACACUUUUUGUUGAGGCCAUAGAUCAAAUGGUUAUAUUUGUUAAAUGACUACUCCAACCGUUAAAACCAUCUUUGUGAAAAAAAAUCAGCUUGAUCAAGAUUGUAUACAGGAGCUAGAAUUGAAUUACUCAAAUAAUUUAAAUUGUUUUAAAAAAAAUUAAUCAACUUUAAUAAUUUCUUUUGAGAUUAAAAAACUUUAAUCAAUUUUAAAAAAAAUUAAAUUUUAUCCAUCCCUAAUCUUUUAAAUAUAAAGAAAGACUCUAAACAGAUUUUUUUUUAUUAAAAAAAUUAUAAGAUGAUAGAUAGCUACUUAUCAUUAAAUUUAGAAAAUAUUAAAUUACUUUUAUUUUAUUAAAAAAUUAAAAUAAAUUAUUUUUUAAAAUGAAAUAUUCAAAUUACCCUAUGUAUCUUUUAUCCAAAACUAUCUACAAUAAUAUAAAAUAUUAUAUUAAUAAAAUUAAAAUUAAUAAAACAAAUAAUCUUUUAAAAUCAAUAUUUACUUUUGUUAAACAAUAUAAUUAUAUUCGAUACUUAUAUUUACUAAUUUAUCAAAUAAUUUUUAAUAUACAUUUAAAACUUAUAAAAUUUAAGGGUAAAAAUGCAGUGGUUAAAUUUUUAAUAAUUAAAAUUUUAAUUUAUCAUUAGAUUAUGUAAUAAACAACAAUAAUAUAUAAAUAAUGAAAGUCAAUUACGCUCAUUGUCUUCCAUUAAAGAAAAGUUACACUCACGGUUUUUCAGUGAUAUUUCAGAUUUAUUUUUUAAUUAGUUUUUUAAUAAUACAUUUUUUUUUAUCGUAAUCAAAAUAUCUAUAGUUGACAGCAGUUACUAAUCUCUUUUUCGAAGGUAGACAAUGCAUUUUUAAUUACAAUAAUUAGUAUAUUCGUUAUUUAAAUUAUUGAAGAUAAUUAAAUUAUAUUAUCUUAUUUUAAAAAUCAAACUUAUAAUAAUAAAAAAUUUAAAAUGAUAAUUAAAGCAUUUAUAUUAUAUUCAAUGUAGAAUAUAAUUUUACUUCAUUUAAUUUAUACAGAACAACAAUACUAAAAAUAAUAAUAUAAUUAACAUAUAAAAUUAUUUUGUCAUUCAAAUGCAGUGCUAAUAAAAAAAUUCUUAAUAAUUAUUAAAAAAUUGUAAAAAUUAUAAAAAAAAGUAAUAUAUCAUAGGGAUCAUAUAUAAAAUCAUUUAAUAAAAAAAUUAAUCUUCACAAAAUUCCAAUGUAUCCCAAAUAAAGUCAUAAUAAUAAAUUUCUUGAUAUUAAUCAAUAAAGAUUAAAACAAAAAAUAUAUAUUAUCAAAUUAGGAAAACCUACUUGAAAAUCUUGAAAAAUUAAUAUUUAUCAUAUAAAAUUCUAGAGAGAAAAAGAGAAUAAGAAAAAUAUUGGAGAAAGUGAUGAAUAUUAAAAAGAAAAAGAAUAAGGAGUUUUGAAAUUUUGAGUAGGUUGAGAGAUAUUUAUUUUGUUUUAUAUAAAUAAAAUAUUUUUAUAACAAACUUUUUUUUUUGAAGUCACUUUGAGUCCACGAUUUUUUAUUGACUUCGCCCACAUAUUAAAAGUAUAAUAUAAAUAAAAGAAUAAAUAUAUAAUCUUUCUCUAUUUUAAUUAUUUUAUCUACAUAAUGUGAUUUAUUUAAAAUAUAAAUAGUAUGAUAUUUUAAUUGAUUAAGUUUUAGUUCAAUUGGUAUGAGUAUUAUUAUCAAUGCAAUAACACAAUAGUUUGAGCGCCCCUCCUUAAUUUUUUAUAUAUAAAAGUUUUAAUUUAUAAUUUCAACUAAAUUGAACCCAAACAAGCAUAAUCUCUUCAAUCAUGGUUUAGUCAAAUUUAUUAUCUUUAAGUUUGAGAUCUAAUCUUUUAAAUUUUAAUUUGACAUAAUUUAUCCUCUAUUUUUAUAAUAUUAUUUGUUAGUCUAAAUUAUUAAUAUCGAUUAAUUAUUUCAACUAAAAAGCUAAUUUAAUUGUUUCUCAAAAACAUUAUAUCACACAUGAUCAGUUAGGAUGUGUUUUAAGAAAAAAUCUACUUCAAUUAAUUAGUUAUUUGAAUUAGCAUAUGAUAUUAUAAAAAUAGAGGACCAAAUUAUGUUACAUUAAAAACUAGAAGGAUUAAUUUUUAAAUUUGAGUAUAAUAGAGGAACCAAAACUAACUUUGACUUGUCUAUUAUUGUAGCAACCCGAUUUUUGACCCAAAUCGGAACAGUGGUUUCGGGACCACAAAUCCGAAUUAGAAAAAUAUUUUAAUAUUAUUUUCUGUGUUUAUUAUGAGUGAAUUUGAUUGUGUGAAAUUUCCGUGUUUUAAUUUCAUCGUUUAAGUAUCCGAUUUAAUAAAAGGGUUUAAACGCGUAAAAUAAAAAUUUAAGGGUUAAAUCUAAAAGCACCUAAAUGUUGUUGUCUUUUUAAAUGGGAGGAUUUAUGAUGUAAUAAGACCAAAAGUUAGAUAGUGGGUGGCAUUUGACAAGAGUAACCUUAAUAUAUAUGUUAGACAUAAUUAUUAGUAAAAGGUUAAUAUAGUAAUAAGGUAAAUAUUAACUUUAUAAUAAAAUUAAGUAAUGAAAAGAUGAAUAGGUUCAUCUUGGUUAGCCGAAUGUUGAAAAGGAAGGAACCAUACAUGGCUUUUUAAGUUUCGGCACUUCUUUAGCUUGGUUGAGGUAUGUUUUGAUUUCGAUUUUUGAUGAUUUUUACGUUUUUGUAAUCGUUGCUUCGUGUUCUAUUUAGCCCAUGCUUUAAUUUUAGAAUUUGAAGGUGAUUUUGAGAUAUGCCAUUGAUGAAUACUUGAGUUUUAUGAUAGUUAAUGAUGAAAUAUGGAAGAUAUGUGAUAGAUUAUAAUGUUUGUUUUUGAAUUUUUGAUGAAUUUGAUUAUUUUGGGUUAAUUUGUAAGAAAAUAUUAAAUUGAGGGACUAGAAUGUGAAAUAAAUGUCAUGCAAGGACCUAUUUGAGUCUAGGGAAUAUUCGGCCAAAGUACAUUGUGAUUAAUUUGGAAUAUUUUGUGUUUUGUGCAAUUUGGACUAAAUUGUAAAAAUGUUAAAUAUCAGGGGCAAAAUGGUAAAUUACCUAUUUAUGUGUUUUUGGACGGAAUUGAAUGAAAUUAUGUUUGAAUGAGUUAAAUUUGAAUGUGUAUAGAUCAAGAAUUAAAGAAAUCGGACUUGGAUCGGGGGAAAAUAAAGUCGUUGAUUAAUUGUUCCGUUCCGGUUUAUCGCUGUUCGAGGUAAGUUUAUAAGCAAUUAAAUGUUAAAAUUUCUGAAUAAAUUUUAGUUAUAUAAAUGCUGAAAUGAAAUAUGCAAAUAUAUAUAUAGCUGAAUGCGUUUUAGUUCGGAAAGUAGAAAUUGAUGUGAAUGCGAUUUAUCGAUAUUUAGCACUAAGUGUGCGAGUAUGGAAUAGCUACGGCUAAAUGAACGGCACUAAGUGUGCGAAAUUAAAAUAAUGAUGUUGGAUAAUGGGCACUAAGUGUGCGAAAUUAAAAUGAUGAUGUUGUAUAACGGGCACUAAGUGUGCGAUACCGAGAGCAACUUUGUUAGAUGAGAAAGAGCACUAAUUGUGCAAUUUCAUUAUGGCCUCGAUCAAUUAUUUUAGUACAUGAUAGUACAAGUAUACAAUGGAUGAAAAAUACUUGAGAUCAAGGUAAUUUGGUUAUUUCAAUUUUGAUGAGAAAAAAAUUUAUACGAGGAAAAUGAAAGUAUAUGAGCAUAUGAAAGUUUAUAUUUGGUCAAUUGGUAACUAUAUGUGAUUUUAUACUUAUGUUUUAUAUGCACUUAUUUAUGAAUGAGUAUAUUCGGUGAAAAGUGGGUAUAUGAAUUGAAUAUGAAAAUAACUAUGUUAUUAUUUAAAGACUUAUUCGGCCAAGCUGAAAAUUUGUUCAUAGUUACAUAUUUGAUAUUUAAGCUUUGCAAGCUCGAAUAUGUAUAUAUACGAAUAUGAUUGCAUUAUUUGAUUUUGUUAUUGAAUUAUUAAUGUCAUUAAAUUGUACAAUUGCUUAUGACUUACUAAGCUGUGGUAGCUUAUUUUGUAUAUGUGUGUUUUCUUUCGAUUUUAUAGAUUUUGGAAGCUAGUUACGGGUUCGGGGAUCGUCAGCGUAGUUAAUCACACUAUCGUCCGUUCAUCGGUAGUUAUAAAAGUUAAAUAUAAAAUCUAUGGCAUGUAUAGGCUAUACUCCCCUUUUUAUUAUAUUUUGAACAAAGUGUGUAUAUAUAUAUAUAUAAUAGGCCAUGCGAAAAUGGCUUGUUUAUUUUGACAUGAAUGGUUUCAUGCUUUGAAUGUGAUUAUGGUUGAUGAUUUAGCUAUGUUUCAUAGAUGGUUAAGACUUAUAUAAAUGAUGUUAUGCUUUGAGAGAUUUUCAAUUUUGAUUAUUAUGCGUAUUGGUUGUGAUAGACAAGUAAAGAUGAUUAAUAUGAUACGAUGUAAGUAUAAGUUACAUUCGAAUUCAUGGAUGGAAACAUUUUAGUUUUUGGCAAUUGAGAUUGAAUUUGAAUUAUCAUAUAUUAUGUGAAAAAUUGUAUAUUGUUUUAUUAUGAAAAUUGAGUAGUUGAAAUUGGUAAUUUGCAUAAUGAGCAUUGUUUAUGGAAUUGGUCUUGUAAAUGACCUUUGAUACAAUUGAAGGUUAAAUAAUACAUAGUAAAUAUAUAUAUAUAGGAUGGGCCUUGGUAUGUCAUGCAUGAAAUUGUUUGAGUAUUAAUGUAUUUGAUAUUAGUUAAAGUAUAAGUAUUUAAGUUUAAUUGUAUUCGGCUAAAACUUGAGAAGUUGACCGUAUGAAUAGUAAUUAUAAUUGAUUUGUUAGUCGAGUAGGCGAAAUGAGUAUGACCUAAAGUGGUGUUUGAAAUAUUUUGCAUAAAUUUUAAUUAUGAAUUAUGUGUUUAUGAAUUUGGUUCGGUAAUACCUCGUAACCUUAUUCUGAAGAUGGACUCGGGUUUAGGGUGUUACAAUUAUAUAAUAGGGUAAACUACACCACAGAUCACCCAUUUAUUGCUCUUUUUUUUUGUCACUCAACUAUCAUUUUUUUAAUGUGAUCAUUUAAUUAUUACAUUUUUUCUUUUUUGGUCACCCAACUAUCAUUUUUUUUAAAUUUGGUCAUACAACUAAUUGAAAUUAUUUUUGUUUGUCCAUUUCUAUUAAGUGUCGUUAAAUAUUUGACGAAAAAAUGACGUGACGAUUAAAAAAUUGGUAUAACAAUAAAUUUAACUCUAACUUUUAUAUAUUCUAUUGAUUUAUUAUUAAAUCAAUUUUAAUUUCAUGGCAACUGACAAAAAUAUACCAAAAAAAAUCUAAUUUAAUUAAAUGAAAAAAAAAACCAAUAAUGUAGUUUACCUAUAUAAUUAUAAGAUGUGGGCCGAACCUACCGGCCUAUAAUGUUUUACCACGAGGGAAUGUAAAAUUUCGAGACUGCCCUGCAAUCAUUUAAGCAAGUCAACUGAAGUCGAGCGGAUGUCCUUCGAUUUUUCAACAUUGGCUGCUAAAAUACCCGUAUAUUUCUCAUCAUUUAGGCAAACCAUUCCAGAGUAGAUAUCAAAGAAAAAAACAGCAGACAGGGUGAAGCAACGCCAAGGUAACAUAUAUUUUUCACAGUAGCUAAGCUAAGUAUAUUUAUUUGUUAACUCUGAUUUGAAUCGCUUUUCUGUGAAGUAGGUUACUCGCAACAAAUUCGUAUAAUCAGACGCUUUUCUCGUUUGCUUCAUCUGAGUGUAAUAGUUCAGGUAAGCUUUUCUUUCAUUUUAAAAGAAGGAAGACGAUGGGUGUGGGUUUGAGAAUAAUCUGAUUUCUUCUUUGUUUUGGAGGAAUUUCAAAAAUCUGACUUCCCAGUUUCGCAACAAUCUUACCUUCUAUAGUUUUUUUUUUUUUUAAUCUUAAAGUCAUUGAACAGUAGAAUAUAAUAUGUAUAAUAAAAUAUAAUAAAUAUAUAGAUCCAUAAUAAUUAGACCUCCUCUGGUUUCUCCGGUCUGUGUUUUCGGGCCCCUUAGACUUUUGUCUAGCAUCUUCUUUUUUGUACAACUUUUGAGAACUGUCGUCCACUGUCUGUAACUUUUUUAUAAUGAAAGUUUCUUUCAUAAAAUAAUCAUAAUUAGAAAAACGUAAUAUUUGAUUGGGUGAGAGAAAAAGACAAUAUAGGCAAGCUACUCAUAUUUUUAUUUUAAAUCAUUUCAAAAGAAUUUUUUAAUUUUAGUUAUCUGAACAUAAAAAUGAAUUAAAUUGACCAAUAAGUGGUAAUAAAAGAUUAACUGUACAUUUUUACCUUAAUCACUCUAAAAUUUAGAUAAAUUAUUCUUUAGUCACUGUAUAUAAAAACUAUUGCUACAUUGGUUUACCCAGUGGAUAACAUUUUACCUUAUAUAAAGAUAAAUUCCUAUUAUCACAGCUUUCCUCGUUUGCCUCAUCUUUGUAUAAUAUUUCAGGUAAGCUUUUCUUUUAUUUUCAAAGAUGAAAGACUAUGGGUGUGGGUUUGAGAAUAAUCUGAUUGCUUCUUUCUUUAAGCUAUGGUUUUGGAGGAAUUUCAAAUCUGACUUCCAGAUUUGAGUUUCGCAACAAUUUCUAGUUUUUUCUUUUUUAAAUUAAUUAUUCCGCCAUUAAAUGUAACAAAAGGCUAACAACGUAUUUUCACAUUCAUCACACUAAAACAAGGGGUUGUUACUGCUUUGGUUUAGGAUAACAUUUGAUCUUAUAUUUUUGUAUACGUUAGUUUUGUAAUUUAAUAACUUUUCUCAAUUUUGAAAAUUUUAAAUAUUCAAAGUCUAUUUGGACAUCACAAAAUAUUUAGUUGGAUAUUUAAUUUUGAAAAAUUGGGUGGCUAAAAGAAACAUAUUUAAUAGUUGAUUGACCAAGAUAUAAUAAACUAAAUAGUUAAAUGAAUAUUCAUAAAAUAUUUAUUAAUUUAAUUUUAAUAUAUUUCUGAUAACCAAAUUAUAAAAAUAUUCACUAUUGGUCUAACCAAAAUAAUUUACGUGUUUAACAGAAAAUUAUAUUUUAAUUUAAAAUUUAAUAAGAAAAAUAAUUUAUUAAUGAAAAAGGAAAUGACAAAAGAAUUUAAGCUAUAAUAAUAAGAAAAUCAUAUUUUAAUAAUAAAACACUAAAAUAAAUUCACAAAAAAUAAUAAUAAAAGGGAAAAGCUAAUUAGACAUUUUAGAAAGUUAAAAUGUUUUUAGUUCAAUCAAAGUACUUUGCACGUUGUAUCCAAAGUAUAUUAUUUAACUUUUAUAAGAAAAAUAUUUUUUAAAUAAAUAAAAAGAACAAAAGGAAAAAAUAAAUAUAAUAAGAAAAAAUAUUUUACUGGAAAAAAAAAAGAAUUCAUAAAAAUUAUACGAAAAAGGAAAAUCAAUUAAAUACUUUAUAAUAUUAUUUUAAAAGAACUCAUAAAAAAUUAAAUAUUUUAAAAGGGUAAAAAUGUUUUAUUUACAUAUUUUAUAUACGUAUUUUAGAAGAUUUUAUAUAUUUUGGAAGAAUAUUUUAUUUUUUAAUACCUUUUGGAGCUGACACUUAAUUUAUAUAUUGAUAGAUAUAUAAUCGUACAUUAAAAUCUAUCCUUCAUAAAGAAGUAAGUGUGACUAAUGGACGUAGUUAUUAUUACUACAUUGCAGAUUAUUUGGUGAAUUAUGGAACUUGCAGGACCAAUUUGUGAAGUGCUAAAGUGCUUAGGAGAUCCAACAUGUACAUACAUACAGCAUCACAGAAAACUUAAAGACAGGAUGAAUGAUCUUCAAGAGAGACUAGUCCGACUAAAUGCUAUGAAGAGAGAUGUGGAGCGGAGAAUAAACGCAGAGCUUCGAUGGGGAAGACUUUUAAGGGAAGAAGUAGAGAAGUGGCUUCUAGAUGUGCAAACCGUCAAUGAUACAAUGCGGGACAUUGAUGAACGAAUGCAAAAUGUGUCUUGUUUUUCACGUGCACGCCUUGGAAAACGUGCAGUUCAAACAAUUGAACAAGUGGAGGGAAUUAUUGAACGAGGUAGGUUCCCUGAAGCUCUAGUAAUUGAUAAUCCAUCUACUGCUGGAGUGCCUUUUCAAUCGGAACAUUUAGAAGGUGAAAUCAUGGUGAUAAAAGACAUUUGGAACUAUUUAAUGAGUGAUGAAAUUGGAAUGAUUGGAGUAUGUGGGAUGGGUGGGAUCGGGAAAACCACUAUCGUGAAGCACAUAUACUAUCAACUAUUGAAGGAGACUAAACCUUUGUUUGAUAAAAUCAUUUGGGUCACUGUUUCAAAGGAGCUCAACAUUCCCAAAUUACAGCAAAACCUUGCAACUGCUAUGAAUAUUGUAGGUCUUCCAGAAUCUGAACCAGAGCGUGUAGCAGUAUUAAUGGAUAAAUUGGGACAAAGAAGAUAUGUAUUGAUCUUAGAUGAUGUUUGGAAAAAGUUCUCUCUGGCAGACGUAGGGAUUCCUAAACCAACCUCCAGCAAUGGGAGUAAGUUGGUAUUAACUAGUAGAUUGAUUGAGGUUUGUAGAUCAAUGGACUGUAAGGUAGUCAAAGUGCCUCCACUCUCCAAUGAGGAGUCCAUGAAUUUAUUCUUGAAGCAUGCUGGACGUGGGGUUUUAAAGGUUCCAUCUUUGAAAGAAAUUUUGGACAACGUUGUUAAGGAGUGUGAUGGGUUACCCCUUGCCGUUGCUGUAAUAGCUGGGAGCAUGAAGGGAAUAUAUAACGUUGAAGAAUGGAGGAACGCAUUAAGAGAGUUACGAGACCAUGUAAGAAGCGUGAAGGGCACAGAUGUUGAAAUAUAUGAGCGAUUGAAGUUCAGUUUCGAUCGUUUGGGAGAUUUGAAAAUCCAAAGUUGUUUUCUUUAUUGCUCACUAUAUCCAGAAGACUAUAUAAUUCCAAGGAAGGAAUUAAUAGAAUACUGGAUAGAUGAGGAAUUUCUUGGAAAUGGGAGUCGACAAGAGUUGCAUGAUAAGGGUCAUACUAUAUUAAAUAGGCUGGAAAAUAAUUGUUUGUUGGAAAAGGUUGGUAGAGAUAUUGUGAAGAUGCAUGAUGUAAUGAGAGAUACAGCAUUGUAUAUCAAAGGUUCUGGCUCCCGUUUUAAGGUACAAUCUGGCAUCGGACUAAAAGAACUACCAAGCAAGCAAGAAUGGGGAGAAGAUCUUGAAAAAGUUUCCUUCAUGGUGAAUAACGUAUCUGAGAUUCCUCCGCACUUGUCACCCAAUUGUGAAGUUCUUUCUACCUUAUUAUUGCAAAAGAAUGAAUCAUUACAAAGGAUUUCAGAAUCGUUCUUUCAACAUAUGCAUAGACUCAGCAUUCUUGAUCUUUCUUAUACCAAUGUCAAGCAACUGCCAACUUCUGUGUCAAACUUGGAAAAGCUCAAAGCAUUGGUGCUUCGUCGAUGCUACAACUUGAGAUAUGUGCCUUCACUAGAAAAGCUUGAGGCUCUAAGAAAGUUGGACCUCAAUCGUACAGCUAUUGAAAAGGUGCCUAAAGGUUUGGAAAUGUUAUCAAAUCUAACUUAUCUUAAUUUAUGUGCUGAAAGCUUAAAGGAGCUGCCAGUUGCAAUUCUACCCAGGCUUUCUUGUCUGCAAUGUUUGAUGUUAUACGUUGAAUCAAGUCGUAUAAGAAUGAAUGGAUUCGAUGCUACCAGAUUAACGAAGCUAGAGAGAUUUGAAGGGAGAUUUACUGAGUUGAUAGACUUUAAUGCCUACACCAAGUCUAUACAAUGUCAACUGCUCACUUCUUACUUGCUUGUCAUGGCACCACUUGAAGCCAAGUUUAACGUGAAACAACGUAUAAAAGGCAUAAAUUGUGUUUACCGUUUCAAGUUGUUGAAUGUGGACAGCGACAAAGGGAGGCAGAAGGCGAUGAUGCUCGCAAGCGGGCUCCAAGGUACGGAUGCAAUUAAAUCCAUAAAAAUUCAAUAGAGUAGGGACCAUUUAGAAGGCCGAUUAAGGCCAGUGCGGGUAAGUUGGUAGUCCCAACUGUGUUGAAUGUCAUCGUGUGGCGCUGUGGAGACUGUAUCUCCACCCUGCUGCAUACCCAUGUUUUCUGACUGGACCCUUAAAGGUCCAGUGCCACUCACCGCACUCCCCUUCCCAUUAUAUCUCCUAAAGCUUUAUUAUAAUAAUAAUAAUAAUAAUAAUAAUAAUAAUAAUUAUUAUUAUUAUUAUUAUUAUUAUUAUUAUUAUUAUUAUUAUUGUUGUUGUUGUUGGACAAACCUUUAUUUCUCCCCCCAUCUUCUUGUUGUUUGUUGGUUUUUUCCCUUUUAUUUAUUCAAGGCUUUUAGUUAAUUAUUUAGUUAUAAAUGAAUUUAUAAAAUUAUCAUAGUAAAGGUUUAGAGUAAAUACUUUACACAUAUAAUUAAUUACACAAAAUAGCUUUAUAAUUAAUUAAUUACAAAUAAGAGUAAAGAGCCAGAACAUUGUAAAUUCUAAAAUAAAAGCAUAAGAAUAAUAUAUAUAAAUAUAUAAAUAAAUCAAGAAAUAAUCGAAUAAAUUGCCAUUAAUAUAUAAUCAUUUUUAAUAUAAAAUAAUGUGUCAACGAUUAAAAUUUUUAAGAUUUUAAAUGUUAAAUAAUGUUAUUAGGGAAAAAAAAGGUUAAAUAAUAUUAAAAUACAUAUAAAAACAACAAAAAAUUUAUUUUUUAAGUAUUAAUUAAUGUGAAUAUGUUAUUAUCAAUUCUUUUUAAAUAAUAUUAAAAUACAUAUAAAAACAAACAAAUUUUAUUUUUUUAAGUAUUAAUUUAUGUGAAUAUGUUAUUAUCAAUUCUUUUUUUUUAUUAAUUUCCCAUUACUUAUAGCAAAACUACUAUUUGGCAUAAAAAUAUUUUAAUAAAAUUUAUUUAUGACAUAAAUGUCAAAUUAUUUAAAAAUUAUGUUACACUCAAACUUUAGUUUGGCAUUUGUAUUUGUUUUGUUAAUAUAAUUUACUCACUGCCAUUUGUUUUUAUUAUCUAAUCACUUCGUAUUAUCCAUUUUGGUUCUACUGUGUUAUAGUUACUUGUACGUAGAGCAAUUAAAUUCUCUUUUACAAACCUUUUGAAUAUCACUUAAACCAAUUAUUUAAAUUCUAAAAUAAUCGUAUAUGACUCUACCGAGUGUAUUUUAUAAAGUUAUACUAAAUAUUAUAUUAUUUAAAUUUAAAAAAAUUAUAAAAUUAUGCUAAAAAUUAUAUUGUAAAAAAUAAUUUAUAUGUUACAAAAAGUCUUACAAUCUUUUUUUUUUUUAGUUAUGAAAAAAAAUUAUAUAAUUUGUAAGAAAUGUUAUGAAAGUUAUUGAACACUAUAUAAUUUUUUUAUAAAUAUUUUAUAUUAUUUUUUACCUGAUUUAUUUAUUAUAAAAAUAGUUAUAGCAUAAGUUUUUAUCCAAAUUAAGUUUAAGUUUUUAUAAUCAAAACUAAAUUAUAAAGUUUGUAAUAAUAAUGAUUUACUCAUUUAUUUCAACAUCAUAUAUUUACAAAUUAUGUAGUUUUCAUUCUUUAAAGGUUUAUUUAAAUUGUUAUUUAUUUAAACACUUAAAUUUUACAUUCCAACCAAAUAAAAUAAUCUUAUAUUCACCCACAAUUCUAUUAUUCCACAAACUAACUACACCUUUAAAUUUUUAUUUAUUUAUGCUCCUGUGCUUUAAUACGGUAUGGUGGCUAAUGUAGUACCCCCCCCCCCAAAAAAAAAUACAAUUGGCAAUAGUAACACUAAUGAUUAAUUAUAUUAGAAAUUGAGUUUGAUAAGUACUAUCAUUCUUGAUUGGUGAAGGUGCGGAAUCUGUUUCCUUGAUCUCUAAAGAUAGGACGAUUCUGGAAGUGUCUGGUGACUCAGAAAUGGGACCCACUAAAAUUGCGGCAAAUUGGAAGAAACGAGGUAUAGAAGUGCAGCUCGUGGAUGAGCGGUGGGACCCUACCUCUCUUCCUAUGAAAUACGUGAUAUUAAGCGGGUGUCCGAUAGGACGAGAAGAUCCAGCAGAGCUCCCAAGUGACGUUAGGACUCUGAAAAUUUUUGGGUGCCACAAUAUCAGAAGCUUAAGUGAUAUGCCCUUCUUUCAGCAAACAAAUGAGUUGGGGUUCUGUUCGAUUCACGAUUGUAGAGGGAUAGAAUCUGUGCUUGAUCUGUCGUCACCAUCCCAAUCAUGCACCCCAUUUGAGAACCUUGACCUCUUGUGGCUUGAAAAUUUAGAGAACCUUCAUGUGCUUGUUAAACUAGCAGAAGCAUCCGUUGUUUCUACAUUGAGUUCGCAGUCUAUUCCAGCCAUCUUUUCCCAUCUUAAAUCAUUUUAUAUUGAAGGAUGCUCAAACAUGAAGCAGCUCUUUCCCUUUGACUUGGUACAUGACCUCCAAAACCUAGAGAACCUCAUAGUUCGUGGUUGUGGACAAAUCGAGGAAAUAAUAGGAUCAAAAGAAGAGGAAGAGAAUCACAAGGGAAAUGGAACGCAAGCUCCAACAAAGUUCAGCCUUCCCAAAUUAAGGGAGUUAGAAUUGAAGAACUUACCAGAGCUGAAGAGCAUAUGCAGUUCAAAUAGGGAAAUGGUAUGCAACUCUCUUAUGAAAAUCGAAGUAAAGAAAUGUACCAAUCUAAAAAGGAUGCCUCUGUAUCUUCCUCUUUUUCAAGAUACACACCAAUCAGCUCCUUCUGCUCAUCCUUUUUUACUAAUCCGCAUAGAUCCAAUGGAGUGGUGGGAAUCAGUAGAGUGGGACUAUCCGAAUGCUAAGGAGGUUCUGCGACCUUGGUUGAAAUUGUAUUAGCGCUGCUGGAAGCCUUUGCUGUUCAUAUCAAAUUCCGGAUCAAGCUAAACAGUGAGUCUUCAUUUGUUGUUUUUAUUUCUAGAAAAAAAAUUGAAGAUCUUUUAUUCUACCAAAAAGAAAACGGGAAAUCUGCAAGAAGAGGAUUAUGAUUGGCAAAAUAGAGACCAAAGAGAACAAAACUAUUACUAAUGUUUGAAACAAAUUUAGAUCAAUUAGCAUCAUGCUUUGUUACCAGCUGUAGGCCAAAUUGGUUGAAAAUGGUUUCAGUAAAGCACGGUCUCAUUUGCUUCUUUGUUUAACCCCAAUGGUUAGGCUUGCUCUAGAACCCUUGAGAUUCUCAUUAUGACAUUAAUGAUUUGAAUGAACCAACAGCCCCUUUUUCUUCUUUAUUUUGUAACUGCAAGCUUUAAGUUGAUAUAAAUAUGUUUUCCAAUGUAGUAUUCUUGUUUGCUUAGAUCAAUGUCAAAAACCUUGCCUCUAAUGCUUCCCUUACUUCUCCACUUUUUUUUUUUUUUUUAAAUUCUUUGUGGGGUCUUAUUAAAUACAGGUUGUUUAUGCCAUUCUAAAGCUAGCAAAGCAGUUGGCUUGACAAUCAAAUCUUGGAGAAACAAGUCAACCCAACUCAUCACUGUACCUUCAUUCUUCUGUGGGGGUUCUAUCUUUGAUGUGGUACUUCGUCGGAUGCAUCCUUCUCUUGUGGUUUUAUCUGUAAUAAAUGAACUUCAAUUUGGUUUCAAUGUGAUUGGAUUGUUGAUGUUGUAAUUCAACUUUGUACUUGAUAAUCCUGCUUCUAGUUUGCAUCAUUUUUUACUAUGUGGUUAUGUUUCCUGUGGCUUAAUUGUCUCAUUUGAUCUUGGAACUUGCACAUUUAUAUAUAUAUAUAUUGAACCAUCCCACAGGUAUAUACCACUUCUUGAAAUGGUGUUUUAUUUAGGUGGCCUUUUUGCUAUUGUGAACCAUCCCAAUGCUAAGCAGGAUCUGCUACCUUGGUAAUGCUAUAGCGCUACUGAAAGGCUUUGUACUUAGAUCAUCUUGAUUUUAAUUAAUUUGCAUCAUUUCAUUAUUUGAUUGUAAGUGUAUUUUCUCAUCUUGCGAAUUGGACUUAAUAAUCUAAGUUGUUUGCUUAUCAAUUAUACUUUUUACAAAACAAGUCCAGGAAAAGAUUGCAAACAGGGUUACAGGAUUGCUGGGAUUUCAAUUUUAUGUGUAUGCAUAUUAUUUAAUUUCUUAGGAUUAGAGCUCAUUUAUUUAUUUAUACUAGAUUUAUGGCACACUCAAUUGUGUAAAUUUUGGUUACAAUGAUAAAAUUAGUUCACAUCGUGCAUAAAGUUCUAAAUUCAAAUCAAUUUAUAGUAAGUUUUUAUUGAUUUAUAUUGUGUAAAAAAACAAAAACACUCUCAUUAGAAAUAAUUAAAGUUAAAUAUGGGUGAAUAUUUUAAUAAUUCCGUAGUUAACUUAAUACCUAACAGAAUCGAUAUAGUACUUAAAAUAAGUAUACACGUAAGUAUAGAUGAUGACUAUAAAAUAAUUUAGGCACUAAUUUCAGAGUGUUGUUAUAUCCAAUACCCACCACCUAGAGGCUUUCAAGCUAUAGAAAGGGUCCAAAACUCUAUCUAUUCCUUGCAUCUGAUGGUGGGGUAAUGUUUAGACAUAAUCUAGAUUUGGAUUUGAUUAUCUAGAAUUUUCAAAUUAAAUUGAUUUGGUUUCAGAAUUAGAAUAAAAAGCUAGUUUUGAAAUUUAUUUUAUUUAAGUUGGAAUGUAUUUUAUUUUGAGUCUAAUUUAAUUAAUAAAAUAAUUUUAAUUUAAUAUAUUAAGUCAAGAUUUUUAGUUGAUUAAGCAAUUUAUUAGUGAUUAAUGGAACUAGUUCAAAAAUUUAUCUUAACUGAAAUAAUUACAUUAAAAAAAUUUAAAAUAUCAUAGAGUGAACAUGAUAUAGUUUACUUUUUUUCAUCCUACUUAUGAGUCUUCUUGAAUAGUUUCAUUAUCUUCACAAUUUGCAUUCAUGUAGUUAUAUCACUCUACUUUUAGUUAUCCAUAAUUAAUUUUUUGAAAAAAUAUAUAUAACAAUGAAAAGUUAAGAAAUUUCAACCAAAAAAAAAAAAAAACACUUUUUGUUGAGGCUAUAGAUCAAAUGGCUAUAUUUGUUAAAUGACUACUCCAACCGUUAAAACCAUCUUUGUGAAAAAAAUCAGCUUGAUCAAGAUUGUAUACAGGAGCUAGAAUUGAAUGACUAAUAAUUUAAAUUGUUUUAAAAAAAUUAUUCAACUUUAACAAUUUCUUUUGAGAUUAAAAAAAUUUAAUCAAUUUUUUAAUAAAUUAAAUUUUAUCCAUCCCUAAUCUUUUAAAUAUAAAGAAAGACCCUAAACAGAUUUUUUAUUAAAAAAAUUAUAAGAUGAUAGAUAGCUACUUAUCAUUAAAUGUAGAAAAUAUUAAAUUACUUUUAUUUUAUUAAAAUAUUAAAAUAAAUUAUUUUUUAAAAUGAAAUAUUCAAAUUACCCUAUGUAUCUUUUAUCCAAAACUAUCUACAAUAAUAUAAAAUAUUAUAUUAAUAAAAUUAAAAUUAAUAAAACAAAUAAUCUUUUAAAAUCAAUAUUUACUUUUGUUAAAACAAUAUAAUUAUAUUCGAUACUUAUAUUUACUAAUUUAUCAAAUAAUUUUUAAUAUAAAUUUAAAACUUAUAAAAUUUAAUGGUAAAAAUUCAGUAGUUAAAUUUUUAAUAAUUAAAAUUUUAAUUUAUCAUUAGAUUAUGUAAGAAACAACAAUAAUAUAUAAAUAAUGAAAGUCAAUUACGUUCAUUGUCUUCCAUUAAAGAAAAGUUACACUCACAGUUUUUCAGUGAUAUUUCAGAUUUAUUUUUUAAUUAGUUUUUUAAUAAUAUAAUUUUUUUAUCGUAAUCAAGAUAUUCACAGUAGAUAGUAGUUACUAAUCUCUUUGUCGCAGGUAAAUAAUGUAUUUUUAAUUAUAAUAAUUAGUAUAUUCGUUAUUUAAAUUAUUGAAGAUAAUUAAAUUAUAUUAUCUUAUUUUAAAAAUCAAACUUAUAAUAAUAAAAAAUUUUAAAUGAUAAUUAAAGCAUUUAUAUUAUAUUUAAUGUAGAAUAUAAUUUUACUUCAUUUAAUUUAUACAGAACAACAUUACUAAUAAUAAUAAUAUAAUUAACAUAUAAAUUUUAUUUUGUCAUUCAAAUGCAAUGCUAAUAAAAAAAUUGUAAAAAUUAUAAUAAAAAAAGUAAUAUAUCAUAGGGAUCAUAUAUAAAAUCACUUAAUAAAAAAAAUUUAAUCUUCACAAAAUUCCAAUCUAUCCCAAAUAAAGUCAUAAUAAUAAAUUUCUUGAUAUUAAUCAAUAAAGUUUAAAACAAAAAAUAUAUAUAUUAUCAAAUUAGGAAAACCUACUUGAAAAUCUUGAAAAAUUAAUAUUUAUCAUAUAAAAUUCUAGAGAGAAAAAGAGAAUACGAAAAAUAUUGGAGAAAGUGAUGAAUAUUAAAAAGAAAAAGAAUAAGGAGUUUUGAGAUUUUGAGUAGGUUCAGAGAUAUUUAUUUCUUUUAUAUAAAUAAAUUAUUUUUAUAACAAAAUGUAAUAUCCAAAAAAAUUUACAGUAAGAUAUUAUCUUUGAUAUAAUAAAUAAGGAAAUAAAAUAAAAAAAAAGGAAAAUUUUAGAGCUAAGUCAACAUGGGGAAGUAUAUUAUAUUACAUAUAAUAUAAUAAGUAGAGUAGAUUAUAGAAAAGAUCCAUAAUAAUUAGACCUCCUCUGCUUUCCCCCAUAUUUGUUUUCCGGCCUCUUAGACUUUUGUCUAGCAAAUAUUACAACUUCUAGUUUCCAUAAGUUGUGGAUUAGUAUUUAUAUUUUAACUUGAUUAAUUUAAGCCAUUAUAUUUUUCUAAUCGGUCUUAAUUCCUGUAAUUUUUAAAUUAUUAAAUAUAAUUAAAUUAUUUUAUUUUAUUUAAUAAUUCAAAUAUUAUAAUAAUGAUAACUUUCAAAUUAUAAUUAAAUCACUUUAAUUAUAUUCAAUAUAAAUAUAUUUUUACUUCAUAUAAUUCAUACAAAGUAACAUUACUAAAAAUAAUAGCAUAAUUAACAUAUACCAAUUAUUUUAUCAUUCAAAUAUAGUGCUAAUAUUUUUUAAAUAAUUAUUGAAGUCUUCAUUAUUCAAUGUACUAUUCAUUAAAUUUUUAUAUAUGAAAUAUAAAAUACUUAUUAUAUAAAUUAUUUAAAUUUGCUAUUUUGGAACCAACAUAUAUUUUCCAUAGAAACGCAAUGAUUAAAUUAUAAAUUAAUUUAAUAUAAAUAUUAACUUUUUAUUUACUAUUCUAAAUUUUAGCAGAAUCAAAUUUUUUAUAAUUUUUUUAAUUUAUAAGUAUGAUAAAUUUUAUUAUCAAAUAAAUUUUUUUAACCAAACAUUUUAGUAAAAUUAAUUUUUUAUAAAUAUGAUUAAUCUUAUAAAUAAUAAAAUAUUUUAAAAUAAUAAAUUUAAUAAUAUAACAAACAAUAAAAAUUAUAUUGAUUAGUUCGAAUCUAAACUCGUAUUUUUAUAUAUAUUAGUCUUUGACAUAUGUGCAAUGUUUAUAUUUUUAUUAUUCUUUUUACAAUAUUAAAGAAGUACUUAUGUUUGUUUGAAAGAUGGAUAUAUCGCAUAUAUAUAUUUUAUUAUCUUUACAAAAUUAAUUAAAAUAUUAUAAUAAAAUAAUUUAGUAUAACAUAUAAAAUAAACUAAAUAAAUGUGUGAUCAUAAUGAAUGAAGAUUAUAAUUUUGCAUCAUUAUCGAUUUAAACGAUCUUUCAUCUCUUUCUUAUAGUGUUGUCAUUUGACAAUCACUUGAAAUUUCCUUUGAAAACCUAUUACUUUAAUACUCAAUAUUUUUUAGAUACUUAAAACUUAUCAAUCUAACAGUCUUCAUUUGUUGAAUAAUAUUUAUAAUAAUAGAUCUUAAUUUUAAUUGGUAUAUAAAUAUAACACUAAUUAAAUGAUAACUGAUUUAAAAUAAUAUUUAUUAUUAAUAAUUAAUAUACUCAAUUGUAUAGUUCAAACCAAUAAAAACUCUAUUAUACAAAAAAUAUUAUUAUUAUAAUAAUUUUAUCUAUUAACUUUUAUUGAGACUUUAUCUAUUACUAGUAUACCUAUCAUACCCAUAUUCGUGUGAAAAUAUUUAGAAUGUAUGUGACCGUAUUUUCAAAUGAAAAAAAAAAUCUAUUAUUUAAAAAAAUAUUUUAAACUCAUACUUUUAUAUAUAUAUCAAACUCGUGCACAUCUAUAUUAUUAUUAUUAUUAUUUUGUACAAGAGGGACAUGCUACAAAAUUGAUGUGAAUAAAAUCAUAAAAGAAUUUAAAAUGAUAAGAUAUUACUUAUUGAUUAAAUUGAAUAGUUUAAGUAAUAAUGAAAAUAUAAUUAAAGAUGGAUUAUUUUAAUAAUUGUUAUGAUUUAAAUAAAGGUAAAAUAACAACUCUUUCUUAAAAAUUUAUGAUUAAAUAUUAAAUUUCAAAAAAUAAAAAGUAUUAAAGAAAUUAGAUUAAAGUUUGAUUUAAUUUAUAUAUGCAUACUAAUAAUAUAUAAAAUUAAGGGUAAGCUACACUUAUGGUCACUUUUGUUUGAUUUAACAAUGUCUUUAUCAUUUCACGGAGAUAAUACCAACACUAACAACCAUACUUUUUGCUACAAAGAUAAUAUCAAUUUCAAGCCUUAGUGGUCUCGUGUCUUAAUCUAUUUUUAGCUCAAGCAUCGGAGAGAGAUUACAGGUAAAGGAUAUGGCAUUUUAUAUUUCCAACUUUGUCAAUUGAAUAAAAAAAAAUAAAAGGUAUUUUUGAAAGUCAUUUUUUAUAUAAAAUCUUUAAAAUAUUUUUUUACUUUUAAAAUUUUUAAUUUUUUUUAUAAUUUAUAUUUAAUUUUUAAAAUUUUAAGAAUUUUUAAAUAUUUUUAUAAUUUUUAAAAUUCAGACUAAAAUGACAAAUUUUGUAAACAUUGAGGACUAACUUUGUUGAAUUUUUAAAAUUUAGGAUCAAAUUAGUAGAAUGUGUAAAUAUUGAAGGGUUAAAUUUUUUAUUAGGCCAAUAAAAUAAAGUCACGUUAGACUAACUCACGGAAGAAUGACUAAAAUAUUUAAUUUCAAAAAAUUAAAUAAUUAAAAAAAAAUUAAUAGUUGGGUGAUUGAAAUAGAACAAUAUGAAUAGUUAGAUGACUAUUCUUGUACUUUACAACUAAAAUAUUAAUUUAAUUUAGGUUUAACAUAUUUCUGUUAAUCAAAUUGUAAAAAUAUUCAGUAAUUGUUGGUCUAACAAAACAAUUUAAUAGUUUCACAAAAAAAAAAAUAGUUUAAUUCAAAACUUAUUAAGAAAAAAAUAUUUAAUAAUGAAAAAAAGAAAAGCAUUUUUUUAAAAAAUUUGUAAUAAUAAGAAAAAUAUUUUCUUAUAAAAAUAAGAAAAAUAUUUUUUAAUAAUAAAACACAAAAAGAAUUCACAAAAAUACUGUAAUACAAAAAGGGAAAAUUGUAAUUAAAUAUUUUUUAAUAUUAUUUUAAAACAAUUUAUAAAAAUAAUUAAACAUUUUAAAAAGUCAAGAUGUUUUUAAUUCAACCAAAGUACUUUGCACGUUGUAUCGAAAGUAUAUUAUUUAAAUUUUAUAAGAAAAAUAUUUUUAAAUAAAUAAAAAGCACAAAAGAAAAUAAUUUAAUUAUAAUAAGUAUUUUUCGGGUAAAAAGAGGGGAAAAAAUAAAAGAAUUCAUAAAAAUGAUAUGAAAAGGAAAAGUUAAUUAAAUGCUUUAUAAUAUUAUUUUAAAAGAGCUCAUAAAAAUAAUUAAAAAUUUUAGAAGAAUAUUUUAGUUUUUCUUAACACUUUUUGGAGCUGACACAUAAUUUAUAGAUAGAUAGAUAAUCAUACCCUAAAAAUCUAUCCUUUAUAAAGAACUAAAUGUAGUUGUUAUUAUUACCUUGCAGAGUAUUUGGUGAAUUAUGGAAUUUGUAGGACCAAUUUGUGAAGCAUUAAAGUGCUUAGGAGAUCCAACAUGUACAUACAUAGAGCAUCACAGAAAACUUGAAGACAGGAUGAAUGAUCUUCUGGCAAAACAACGCCAACUAAAUGCUAUGAAGCGAGAUGUGGAGCUGAGAAUAGAGGCGGAGCUUCGAUGGGGAAGACUUUUAAGGAAAGAAGUAGAGAACUGGCUUCUAGAGGUGCAAACCGUCAAUGGCAAAGUACAGGAGGUUGAUAAAAGAAAGCAAAAUGUGUCUUGUUUUUCACGUGGGCGCCUUGGGAAACAAGUUUCCCAAACAGUUGAAGAAGUAAAGGAAAUUAUUGAACAAGGCAGGUUCACUGGAGCUCUAGUAAUUGAUGAUCCAUCUACUGCUGGAGUGCCUUUUCAGUUGGAACAUUUGGAAGGUGAAACCGAGGUGAUUGAAGUCAUUUGGAAGCAUUUGAUGAGUGAUGAAAUUGGAAUGGUUGGUGUAUGUGGAAUGGGCGGGAUCGGGAAAACCACUAUAAUGAAGCACAUACACGAUCAACUAUUGGAGGAGACUAAAUCUAAACCCUUGUUUGAGAAAAUCAUUUGGGUCACUGUUUCACAGGACUUCAACAUCACCAGGUUACAACAAGACAUUGCAGAUGCUAUGAAUAUUAAAGAUCUUCCGGAAUCUGAAGAAAAGCGUGCAGCUGUGUUAAGGAACAAAUUGCGACAAAUAAGAUAUGUAUUGAUCUUAGAUGAUGUUUGGGAAGGGUUCGUUCUCGAAAAGGUAGGGAUCCCUGAACCAAUAUCCAGCAAUCGGAGUAAGUUGGUAUUAACUAGUAGAUUGAAAGAGUUUUGUAAAUCUAUAGGCUGUCAUGAGAUAGUCGAAGUGCCUCUACUUUCCUUUGACGAGUCCAUGAAUUUAUUCUUGGUUCAUACCGGACAUGAGGUUCUAAAGGUUCCAUCUUUGGAAAAAAUUUUGGGCGAUAUUGUUAGAGAGUGUGAUAGGUUACCCCUUGCCAUAAAAGUAAUAGCUAGUAGCAUGAAGGGAAUAUAUGAUGUUGUUGAAUGGAGGAAUGCAUUAACAGAGUUACGUAACCAUGUAACAAGUGUGAAGGACACAGAUAAAGAAAUAUACGGGCGAUUAAAGUUCAGUUUCGACCGUUUGAAAGAUUUGAAUAUCCAAAAUUGUUUCCUUUAUUGCUCACUGUACCCAGAAGACUAUAGAAUUCCAAGGAUGGAAUUAAUAGAAUAUUGGAUAGACGAGAGAUUUCUUGAAAUGGCGAGUCGACAACAAUUGCAUGAUAGGGGUCAUACUAUAUUAAAUAGGCUGAUAAACAACUGUUUGUUGGAAAAGGCAGGAGAUGAUGUUAAGAUGCAUGAUGUGAUGAGAGAUAUGGCAUUGUAUAUCAAACAACUUCAUUUUAUUGUAAAAGCUGGCACCGGAUUGGAAGAAUUACCAAGCAAUUCAGAAUGGAAAAAAGAUGUUGAAAGGGCUUCAUUCAUGAUGAAUAAGGUAUCAGAAAUUCCUCUAAGCUUGUCACCCAAUUGUGGAAACCUUUCGACCUUAUUACUGAAAAUGAAUGUGUCCUUGAAAAGGAUUUCCGAAUCAUUCUUUCAGCACAUGCAUAGUCUCAGCAUUCUUGACCUUUCUUAUACCGGUAUCAAGCAAUUGCCCAAUUCCGUUUCAAACUUGGAAACGCUCAAUGCAUUGGUGCUUCGUGGAUGCUGCAACUUGAGAUAUGUGCCUUCACUAGAAAAGCUUAAGGCUCUACGAAAGCUAGACCUCCGUGAUACAGCUAUUAAAGAGGUGCCUAAAGGUUUGGAAAUGUUAGUAAAUCUGACAUAUCUUGAUUUAUCUACUGAAAGCUUAAAGGAGUUCCCAAUGGCAAUUCUCCCUCAGCUUUCCUGUCUACAAUAUUUGAUAUUUUACAGUAAAUCACGUACUGUAAAACUGGAUGGAUCGGAAGCUGCCAGAUUAAGGAAGCUAGAGGAAUUUGAAGGGAGAUUUAAUGAGUUGACAGACUUUAAUGACUACACCGACUCUAUACGAAGUCAAAGUCUUACUUCUUACUUGCUUGUCAUGGCACCACCUGAAGCCAAGUUUAAAGUCAAAGAGGGAACCAGAAAAUUAAAGCUUAAGUAUGAUGGUUCAGGAGACAUCACAGUCCCAAAACUAAGGAAAAUGACAAAAGGACUCAAAGGUACGAUCGAAUCAAAUCUAUAUUAUGUUAAUCUACUUUUAUGAUAUUAAUUUCGUCAGUGUUGAUAUUCAUAUUCCUUUUAGUUAUUGAAUAUUUUAUUCAAAACACAUCGAGUUAAAUAUAAAUACAAUAUUUAAAUGAAGGACAACGAUAGAAAAACUUUUUGAGGAUUGGAAUUAAAUUAUAUAUUUAUCUGAUAGUAAAAAUAUAAUUUUACCAUCUUAAUAGUUUAUAUAUUUAUAAUUUUUGAAGGAUUAAAUUAAAAUUUUAUAAUUUUGAGGAAUUAAAAUAUAAUUUUACUAUUAUUAAUUUAAAAAUAAAAAAUUUUCCAGCUGGCCGCCUGCAAACCCCCGGCUUAGCCACUGAUUCAAAUUAUUUGGUAGCAAAAUAAAAAAUAAAAAAAUACAUUUAGCCAAUUGAGCUUUCAAAGUUUUUUAUUAAUCUGGUCCAAACAUUAAUCAAACCUGCUUAUGUGGCAUCAAAAUCAGUUUUCAACAUUUCAUAAUCAUAUUUUGAGGAAAUUGAAAAAUGAGAAAUGCUUUCUAAAUAUAUAAUUGAUUAAAGCCAAUAUUCAAGAAUAAUUUAUAAAUACUUUUAUAUGCUGCUAAAUAUUGAAUAUCUGUGGAAUCUGUGUCCUUUGUAUAUUUGCAUUUUAUUUAUUUUUAGCAUGCCUUUUGUUUCUUUUCGCAUAUUUUUAACAGUUGAAGGUGUGGAAUAUGUGGCCUUUAAAGAGGAAAAUGGACAAGUGAAAGUGAUUGGUGACGUGGAUCCUGUUCGAAUCGUAAUGAAGCUGAGAAAAUAUAUCCAUGUUGAUAUCUUGUCUGUGGGUCCAAACCGGAGGAGCUUUCGCUCUCUUCUACCCAAGAAGGAAGUAAUUUUAAGUGGAUGCCAGAUCGGAAGAGGUCCAGUGAUUCUUCCAACUGAUCUUAUGCUUCUGAGAAUUUUUGAAUCCCACAAUGUGAGAAGCUUAAGCGAUAUCUCCAUAUUCUUCCAACAAGCAAGCCAGUUAAGGUUCUGUUCAGUUGAAGAUUGUAAAGGGAUAGAAUCCAUUCUCGACUCGUCUUUGUCGAACUCGCUUUGCAGACCACUUGAGAACCUUGAGUACUUGUGGCUUGAAAGGUUGGCUAAUUUGCAUGUGCUUAUUAAAUUCGAAGCACCUCUUUCUAUUUCUAGGUCACGGCCUCUACUAGGCAUCUUUUCUCAUCUUAAAUCAUUUGUGAUUAAAAAAUGCCUAAACAUGAAGCAGCUCUUCCCAUUUAAGCUAGCACAUGACCUUCAAAACCUGGAGAAUCUGGUGGUUUGUAAUUGCGUACAAAUGGAGGAAAUAAUAUCAUCAGAGGAAGAGAAUCACAAGGGAAACGGAAUAAACACUCCCAUGAAAUUCAGUCUUCCCAAAUUAAGGGAGUUAGAAUUGAAGAACUUACCAGAGCUGAAGAGCAUAUGCAGUUCAAAUAGGGAAAUGGUAUGCAAUUCUCUUCGGAAUAUUGAAAUAUCGAAAUGUACGAAUCUGAAAAGGAUGCCUCUGUAUCUUCCUCUUUUUCAAGAUACACACCAAUCAGCUCCUUCUGCUCAUCCUUUCGGAAGAAUCCGCAUAUGUCCAAAGGAGUGGUGGGAAUCAGUAGAGUGGGACUAUCCGAAUGCUAAGGAGGUUCUGCGACCUUGGUUGUGCCGUGUUUAGCGCUGCUGGAAGCCUUUGCUGGUCAAAUCAAAUUCCGGAUCAAGCUAAACAGUGAGUCUUCAUUUCUUGCUUUUAUUUCUAGAAAAAAAUUGAAGAUUUUUUAUUCUUCCAAAAAGAAAACGGGAAAACCUACAAGAAGAGGAUUAUGACUGGCAAAAUAGAAACCAAAGAGAACAAAAAUAUUGCUAAUGUUUAAAACAAAUUUAGAUCAAUUAGCAUCAUGCUUUGUUACCAGCUAUCGGCUAAUUUGGUUGAAAAUGGUUUUAAUAAAGCACGGUCCCAUUUGCUUCUUUGUUUAACCCCAAUGAUUAGGCUUGCUCUAGAACCCUUGAGAUUCUCAUUAUGACAUUAAUGAUUUGAAAGAAUGAACAGCCCCUUUUUCUUCUUUAUUUUGUAACUGCAAGCUUUAAGUUGAUAUAAAUAUGUUUUCCAAUGUAGUAUUCUUGUUUGCUUAGAUCAAUGUCAAAAACCUUGCCUCUAAUGCUUCCCCUUCUUCUCCACUCUUUUUUUUAUUUCUUUGUGGGGUUUUAUUAAAUACAGGUUGUUCAUGCCAUUCUAAAGCUAGCAAAGCAGUUGGCUUGACAAUCAAAUCUUGGAGAAACAAAUCAACCCAACUCAUCACUUUACCUUCAUUCUUCUGUGGUGGUUCUAUAUUUGAUGUGGUACUUCGUCGGAUGCAUCCUUCUCUUGUGGUUUUAUCUGUAAUAAUGAACCUUCAAUUUGGUUUCAAUGUGAUUGGAUUGUUGAUGUUGUAAUUCAACUUUGUACUUGAUAAUCCUGCUUCUAGUUUGCAUCAUUUUUUACUAUGUGGUUGUGUUUCUUGUGGCUUAAUUGUCUCAUUUGAUCUUGAACUUGGCACAUUUAUAUAUAUAUUGAACCAUCCCACAGGGAUAUACCACUUCCUGAAAUGGUGUUUUAUUUAGGUGGCCUUUUUGCUAUUGUGAACCAUCCCAAUGCUAAGCAGGAUCUGCUACCUUACUUGGUAAUGCUAUAGCGCUACUGGAAGCCUUUGUACUUUGAUCAUCUUGAUUUUAAUUAAUUUGCAUCUCAUCUUGCGAAUUGGAGUUAAUAAUCUAAGUUGUUUGCUUUUCUCUUCUUGUAUGAUUUUGCCCAUUUUGUGAGUCUCAUAUCAAUUAUAUUUUUUACAAAACAAGUCCUGGAAAAGAUUGCAAAUAGGGUUACAGGAUUGCUGGGAUUUCAAUUUUAUGUGUAUGGAUCAUAUUAUUCAAUUUCUUAGGAUUAGAGCUCAUUUAUUUAUUUAUGCUAGAUUUAUGGCACACGUAAGUUUUGGUUACAAUAAUAAAAUUAAUUCACAUUGUGCAUGAAAUUUUAAAUUCAAAUCACUUUAUAGUAAAUUUUUAUUGAUUUAUAUUAUGUAAAAAAAGACAAAAACACUCUCAUUAAAAAAAUAAUUUAAGUUAAAUAUGGGCGAAUAUUUAAUAAUUCCGUAAUUAAAUUGAUACCUAAUCAAAUUGAUGUCCAAAUGACUUAUGAUAUCAAUUCAAUAACAUAUUUAAAAUAGAUAAUAACUAUAAAAUAAUUUAGGCACUAAUUUCAGAGUGUUGUUAUAUCCAAUACCCAGCACCUAGAGGCAUUCAAGCUAUAGAGAGAGUCCAAAACUCUAUUUAUUCCUUGCAUCUGAUGGUGGGUUCAUGUUUAGACAUAAUCUUUAUAUAAUCUUUGCAAAACUUAAAUGGUUAGAUUGGAGUGCACCUUUAGAAAAUAUUUCUUCAUCAAUGGUUACACAUUAUAAUUAAGGUAGUGUUUUUUUUUUUUGACAUAAUUAGGUACUGUUUUACUGUUGAAUUUAAUGAGUUACUAAUAACUUGUGAAGAUAAAUCUUGUGAAGCAUAAGUAGGUUUUGCAAAAAAAAAAAAUAAAUAAAGAGUUACUAUUACAAAAUCAUAUACAUUAGAAGAGUAUUUUAAAAAACGUUUCCAGCCAUUAAUUGUCAAAAACAAGAUAUAAAAAAAAUUGAUGCAUGUCAAAUUUUCUAUAGACAUUUAAUUUUGUUCCAACAUUUUAAUUUAAAAUUUAUUAGAUUUCGAUUUGAUUAAACGAGCCUUUAUCUAAAUUUUUUAAAUUAAAUUGAUUUGGAUUCAGAAUUAGAAUAAAAAGCUAGUUUUGAAAUUUAUUUUAUUUAAGUUGGAAUGUAUUUUAUUUUGAGUUUAAAUUAAUUAAUAAAAUAAUUUUAAUUUAAUAUAUUAGGGUUUAGGGGAAGUCAAGAUUUUCAGUUGAUUAAGCAAUUUAUUAGUGAUUAACAGAAUUCUUAACGAGAGAGAGUAGUUCAAAAAUUCAUCUUAACUGAAAUAAUUAAAUUUAAAAAAAUUAAUAUAUCAAAAUAAAAUAAUCACAAUAUUGCAUUCAUGUAGUUAUAUAACUCUACUUUUAGUUAUCGAUAAUUAUUUUUUUUAAAAAUAUAUAUAACAAGAAAUUUCAAAAAAAAAAUUUACUUUUUGUUGAGGCUAUAGAUCAAAUGGCUUCUCCAACCGUUAAAACCAUCAUUGUGAAAGAAAAAUCAGCUUGAUCAAAAUUGUAUACAGGAGCUAGAAUUGAAUUACUUUAAUAAUUUAAUUUAUUAAAAAUUUUAAUAUUUUUUUAAUAAAUCAAAUUUUACCCACCCUAAUCUUUUAUAUAUAAAGAAAGACUCUAAACAUUUUUUUUUUUAUAUUUUCAACCAAGUUGAAGCUAAACAAUCUUGAAUCAUGUUUUAGUCAAAUUUAUUAUUUUUAAAUUUGGUGAAGUUGGUUUGAUCCAGCAGUUUACAAAGCUCUUUCAGCCAGUAAUAAGCCAAAUGUGGGGGAAUUUAAAAUUCCGAGAUUUCCCUGAAAUCAUUUAAACAAGUCAACUCAAGUUAAGCUCAUCUCCUUUUAUUCUUCUACAUUGGCUGCUCCAAUACCAUUAUUUUUCACAUCAUUUAGGCAAACAAUUCCGGAGUUGAUACAGCAGACACGGUGAAGCAACGCCAAGGUAACAUAUCUUCUCCACAGUAGCUAAGUAUAUAUUUGUUUACUCUGAAUCAAUAUCUGAUUUGAAUCGCUUUUCUAUUUAGUAGGUCUUGAAUAUUACUCCCAACAAAUUCCUAUUAUCACACGCUUUCCCCCUUUCCCUCAUCUUUGUCUAAUAUUUCAGGUAAGCUUUCCUUUUAUUUUCAAAGAUGAAAGACUAUGCGUGUGGAUUUGAGACUCAUCUGAUUUCUUCUUUGUUUAAGCUAUGGUUUUAGAGGAAUUUCAAAUCCUACUUCCAGAAUUGAGUUUCGCGACAAUCUCUAGUUUUUUCUUUUAAAUAGAAAUGAUCAAAUUACUUAUUCCACCAUUAAAUGUAACAAAAGACUAACAACGCAUUUCCACAUUAAUCACACUAAAACUAGGGGUUGUUGCUACUUUGGUUUACCCAAAUAUAUAUAUAUUUAAAAGUAGAUAACAUUUGAUCUUAUAUUUUUGUUCACGUUAGUUUUUUAAUUUGAUAACUUUUCUCAAUUUUAAUCAUUGCAAUGAUAUUAAAAUAUGGUAUUCUACCAUGUUAUCACCUAAAUCUUUUUAUAAAACUUAUACUUUUUAGAUAAAUGUGACAUAAUAACGGAGUGUCAUAUUAUCACAUAAAUCAAAAUUGAGAAAUUUGUCCAGUUUUGAGAUUAAUUUGGAAAAAAGAGUAUAGAGACUAAGUUAGAAAGUUGUCAAAUUCAAAUAUUACAUGUUGCUUAAUCCUAUUUAAAAAGAAACUGCAAUCAUUUAUAACUCAUUUUUUUAAAAUUACUUAAUAUAACUCAAUUUAGGAUGUGCUUGAUAAACCAUUUAAAAUGAAAAUUUUAAAUAUUCAAAGUCUAUUUGGACAUCACAAGAUAUUUAGUUGGAAAUGUAAUUACAUUAGAUUCUGCAAUUAACAAAAGAAUGACUACAAUAUUUAAUUUUGAAAAAUUGGGUGGUUAAAAUAAAAAAAAUUAAUAGUUUAUUGACCAAGGUAUAAUAAACUAAAUAGUUAAAUGAAUAUUCAUAAAAUAUUUAUUAAUUUAAUUUUAAUAUAUUUCUGAUAACCAAAUUAUAAAAAUAUUCACUAUUGGUCUAACCAAAAUAAUUUACGUGUUUAACAGAAAAGUAUAUUUUAAUUUAAAAUUUUCUUAUUAAGAAUAUCAUAUUUUAAAAAUAAAACACUAAAAAAAUUCAUAAAAAAUAAUAAUAAAAGGGAAAAGCUAAUUAGACAUUUUAGAAAGUUAAAAUGUUUUUAGUUCAAUCAAAGUACUUUGCACGUUGUAUCGAAAGUAUAUUAUUUAAAUUUUAUAAGAAAAAUAUUUUUAAAUAAAUAAAAAGAACAAAAGGAAAAAAUAAAUAUAAUAAGAAAAAUUAUUUUACUGGAAAAAAAAUAAUUCAUAAAAAUUAUACGAAAAGGGAAAAUCAAUUAAAUACUUUAUAAUAUUAUUUUAAAAGAACUCAUAAAAAAAUUAAAUAUUUUAAAAGGGUAAUAAUGUUUUAUUUAAAUAUUUUAUAUACGUAUUUUAGAAGAUUUUAUAUAUUUUGGAAGAAUAUUUUAUUUUUUAAUACUUUUUGGAGCUGACACUUAAUUUAUAUAUUGAUAGAUAUAUAAUCGUACAUUAAAAUCUAUCCUUCAUAAAGAAAUAAGUGUCACUAACGGACGUAGUUAUUAUUACUACAUUGCAGAUUAUUUGGUGAAUUAUGGAACUUGUAGGACCAAUUUGUGAAGUGCUAAAGUGCUUAGGAGAUCCAACAUGUACAUUCAUACAACAUCACAGAAAACUUAAAGACAGGAUGAAUGAUCUUCAAGAGAGACUAAUCCGACUAAAUGCUAUGAAGAGAGAUGUGGAGCGGAGAAAAAAGGCAGAGCUUCGAUGGGGAAGACUUCUAAGGGAAGAAGUAGAGAAGUGGCUUCUAGAUGUGCAAACCGUCAAUGAUACAAUGCGGGACAUUGAUGAACGAAUGCAAAAUGUGUCUUGUUUUUCACGUGCACGCCUUGGAAAACGUGUUGCUCAAACAGUUGAACAAGUGGAGGGAAUUAUUGAACGAGGUAGGUUCCCUGAAGCUCUAGUAAUUGAUAAUCCAUCUACUGCUGGAGUGCCUUUUCAAUCGGAACAUUUAGAAGGUGAAACCAUGGUGAUAGAAGACAUUUGGAACUACUUAAUGAGUGAUGAAAUUGGAAUGAUUGGAGUAUGUGGGAUGGGUGGGAUCGGGAAAACCACUAUCGUGAAGCACAUUUACUAUGAACUAUUGAAGGAGACUAAACCUUUGUUUGAUAAAAUCAUUUGGGUCACUGUUUCAAAGGAGCUCAACAUUCCCAAAUUACAGCAAAACCUUGCAAAUGCUAUGAAUAUUGUAGGUCUUCCAGAAUCUGAACCAGAGCGUGUAGCAGUAUUAAUGGAUAAAUUGGGACGAAGAAGAUAUGUAUUGAUCUUAGAUGAUGUUUGGAAAAAGUUCUCUCUGGCAGAGGUAGGGAUUCCUAAACCAACCUCCAGCAAUGGGAGUAAGUUGGUAUUAACUAGUAGGUUGAUUGAGGUUUGUAGAUCAAUGGACUGUAAGGUAGUCAAAGUACCUCCACUCUCCAAUGAGGAGUCCAUGAAUUUAUUCUUGAAGCAUGCUGGACGUGGGGUUCUAAAGGUUCCAUCUUUGAAAGAAAUUUUGGACAACGUUGUUAAGGAGUGUGAUGGGUUACCCCUUGCCAUUGCUGUAAUAGCUGGGAGCAUGAAGGGAAUAUAUGAUGUUGCGGAAUGGAGGAACGCAUUAAGAGAGUUACGAGACCAUGUAAGAAGCGUGAAGGGCGCAGAUGUUGAAAUAUAUGAGCGAUUGAAGUUCAGUUUCGAUCGUUUGGGAGAUUUGAAAAUCCAAAGUUGUUUCCUUUAUUGCUCACUAUAUCCAGAAGACUAUAUAAUUCCAAGGGAGGAAUUAAUAGAAUACUGGAUAGAUGAGGAAUUUCUUGGAACUGGGAGUCGACAAGAGUUGUAUGAUAAGGGUCAUACUAUAUUAAAUAGGCUGGAAAAUAAUUGUUUGUUGGAAAAGGUUGGUAGAGAUACUGUGAAGAUGCAUGAUGUAAUGAGAGAUACAGCAUUGUAUAUCAAAGGUUCUGGCUCCGAUUUUAAGGUACAAUCUGGCAUUGGACUAAAAGAACUACCAACCAAGCAAGAAUGGGGAGAAGAUCUUGAAAAAGUUUCCUUCAUGGUGAAUAACGUAUCUGAGAUUCCUCCGCACUUGUCACCCAAUUGUGAGGUUCUUUCUACCUUAUUAUUGCAAAAGAAUGAAUCAUUACAAAGAAUUUCAGAAUCGUUCUUUCAACAUAUGCAUAGACUCAGCAUUCUUGAUCUUUCUUAUACCAAUGUCAAGCAACUGCCAACUUCUGUGUCAAACUUGGAAAAGCUCAAAGCAUUGGUGCUUCGUGGAUGCUACAACUUGAGAUAUGUGCCUUCACUGGAAAAGCUUGAGGCUCUAAGAAAGUUGGACCUCAGUCGUACAGCUAUUGAAAAGGUGCCUCAAGGUUUGGAAAUGUUAUCAAAUCUAACAUAUCUCAAUUUAUAUACAAAAAGCUUAAAGGAGCUGCCAGUUGCAAUUCUACCCAGGCUUUCUUGUCUGCAAUGUUUGAUAUUAUACGUUGAAUCAAGUCGUGUAAAAAUGACUGGAUUCGAUGCUGCCAGAUUAACGAAGCUAGAGAGAUUUGAAGGGAGAUUUACUGAGUUGAUAGACUUUAAUGCCUACACCAAGUCUAUACAAUGUCAACUGCUCACUUCUUACUUGCUUGUCAUGGCACCACUUGAAGCCAAGUUUAACGUCAAACAACGUAUAAAAGGCAUAAAUUGUGUUUACCGUUUCAAGUUGUUGAAUGUGGACAGCGACAAAGGGAGGCAGAAGGCGAUGAUGCUCGCAAGCGGGCUCCAAGGUACGAAUGCAAUUAAAUCCAUAAAAAUUCAUGUUAAGAAAUGGCUUAAAAUUGGUAGUGGAUUGUUGUUGUUGGUAGUGGGUUGUUGGUGGUAGUGGAUUAGUGGAUGGUUGUUGGUGUCCAUUUUCAACCACAAAUCUUUGCCAAAGUUUUGGACAAUUAUGUCCUUGAACUCUCUUAUAAAUAGAGAGGUUCAUUAGCCAUAUUUAUCAUCCCAAACCAAGAGAGAGCAAAGCUUGUUCUUUGAAAGCUAGGAUUUUAGCUUUCGGGUUUUUUUUAUAGGGGUUGAGAGUUGUGAGGUUCUCGGGUUGUGUCUUGAGUGUAAAACACUUGUAAUCUUCAUCUUGUUAUAGUGAAAUUUCUUUUCGCCUCUGCCCGUGGACGUAGGCAUUAAAGCCGAACCACGUAAAUCCUUGUGUUCACUUUAUUUUUCGUUCCGGUCAAUUUACUUGUAGUCAUAUCGGAGUUCUCGAAUCGAUCCUUUCCGCAACAAAUUGGUAUCAGAGCGUAGUUGAAGGAGUGAUAAUAUUUUCUGAAUUGCCCUGUGACUGCAGCUUUGUCUGAUCUUUCACAUCAGGAAGAAAAUAUUAUCAUUCAUUCAAAGGUUCCAAAUUAUGGCUACAAGUGUUUCAUCGACUAAGUAUGAUGUCGAGAAAUUUACCGGGAAAAAUAGUUUCAGUUUAUGGCGCAUCAAGAUGCGGGCAGUGCUGGUUCAACAAGGAUUGCUAAAAGCAUUGUCUGGUAAAGAUAAAUUACCAAGCACGCUUUCGGAAGAGCAAAAGGAUGACAUGCUAGAAAGAGCACAUAGUGCUAUUCUGCUAUGUCUAGGAGAUGAAGUGCUACGAGAAGUAGCGGAUGAGAAAACCGCGUCCGGUUUGUGGCUCCGGUUAGAAAGCAAGUACAUGACGAAGUCAUUGACGAACCGGCUCUACCUCAAGCAAAGACUCUAUGCCCUGAAGAUGGAGGAAGGUACACCUGUUUCCCAGCACCUGGAUAAAUUCAAUUCCAUUAUCAUGGAUUUGAAUAAUAUCGAUAACAAAAUCGAUGAUGAGGACCAAGCAAUAAUUGUUUUGUGUUCUUUGCCUCCCUCGUAUGAGAAUUUUGUUGAUACAAUGAUGUACGGUCGUGAUGACCUGACUCUAGAGGAGGUGAAAAAUGCCUUAAGUUCCAGUGAGUUGAGGAAGAAAAUCACUGGUAAGGUGGUCGAAAACAAUGAAGGCGAAGGCUUGGUUGCUCGAGGAAGAUCCAAGGCAAAGGGUGGAAGUUCAAGUAAAAGCCAUCCUAGAUCGCAGUCCAAGAAGAGAAUACAGUGCUACUACUGUAAGAAGUACGGGCACAUGAAGGUAGAUUGUCCGAAAAGGAAGGAGAAAUCAGAAUCACAGGAGCAACAAAAUGAUCGUGCGAAUGUAGCUGAUGCAGAUUCUUCAAGUGAUGCCGAGAUCGUUCUUGCAGUAUCCGACUCUUACGCUGGUGGGAGAUGGAUUCUUGAUACGGGAGCUACAUUUCAUAUAAGUACUUCGAAAGAUGCAUUCUCAACAUACGAGAAGCAUUCUGGUUCAGUACUAAUGGGAAAUGACCACGCAUGUCAAGUCAUGGGGAUUGGCACAGUUCGUAUAAAGAUGUUUGACGGUAUUGUUAGAACUCUAACUGAUGUUCGGCACAUUCCAGAAAUGAAGAAAAAUUUGAUCUCUUUGAGUACGUUGGACAAGAAAGGCUUUCGGUACUCUGCUGAAGGUGGAGUUCUCAAGGUAUUCUCGGGUGCUUUGACUGUGAUACGUGGUAAUUUGGAGCGGGGCCUUUACUUCCUCGAUGGUUCCUCGGUUACAGGUGUUGCGGGAGUGUCAUCAUCAGAUGAUCUAGAUUCUGACACCACGAAGUUAUGGCAUAUGCGGCUCGGGCAUAUGAGCGAGAGAGGCUUAUCGGUGCUAAGCAAACGAGGAUUAUUGUCUGGGCAGUGUACAGGAAAGUUGAAUUUCUGUGAGCACUGCGUCUUCGGUAAGCAGACUCGGGUAAAGUUCAGCACUGGGAUUCACAAGACAAAAGGCACAGUGGAUUACUUCCAUUCUGACCUUUGGGGGCCUUCUCCGACAAUUUCUAAAGGUGGUUACAGAUAUCUGCUUACCUUUAUCGAUGAUUACUCGAGAAAGGUUUGGGUGUAUUUUCUGAAGAGCAAGUAUGAGGUUCUCAUCAACUUCAAGCAAUUUAAAGCUUUGAUCGAAAAUCAAACAGGAAAGAAGAUCAAGCGAUUCCGGACGGAUAAUGGCUUGGAGUUUUGCUCAGGUGAAUUCAAUGAGUUCUGCAAGAAUGAAGGAAUAGUGAGACACCGCACUGUUCGUCGAACACCACAACAAAAUGGAGUUGCAGAACGCAUGAAUAGAACUCUCUUGGAGCGAGCUCGUUGCAUGCGAUCAAAUGCUGGGCUCGGUGAAGAAUUUUGGGCUGAAGCUGUUAAUACUGCUUGUUAUUUGGUUAACAGAUCUCCGUCAACAGCUAUUGAGCUGAAGACUCCUGAGGAAGUAUGGUCUGGUUCUCCUGCUGAUUACUCUGGUUUAAGAGUGUUUGGCUGCCCUGCGUAUGCUCAUGUAAAUAAUUUAAUAUAUUAAGUCAAGAUUUUAAUUUAAUAUAUUAAGUCAAGAUUUUUAGUUGAUUAAGCAAUUUAUUAGUGAUUAAUGGAACUAGUUCAAAAAUUUAUCUUAACUGAAAUAAUUACAUUAAAAAAAUUUAAAAUAUCAUAGAGUGAACAUGAUAUAGUUUACUUUUUUUCAUCCUACUUAUGAGUCUUCUUGAAUAGUUUCAUUAUCUUCACAAUUUGCAUUCAUGUAGUUAUAUCACUCUACUUUUAGUUAUCCAUAAUUAAUUUUUUAAAUAUAUAUAUAUAACAAUGAAAAGUUGAGAAAUUAAAAAAAAAAAAACUUUUUGUUGAGGCUAUAGAUCAAACAGCUAUAUUUGUUAAAUGACUACUCCAACCGUUAAAACCAUCUUUGUGAAAAAAAUCAGCUUGAUCAAGAUUGUAUACAGGAGCUAGAAUUGAAUGACUAAUAAUUUAAAUUGUUUUAAAAAAAUUAAUCAACUUUAAUAAUUUCUUUUGAGAUUAAAAAAAUUUAAUCAAUUUUUUAAUAAAUUAAAGUUUACCCAUCCCUAAUCUUUUAAAUAUAAAGAAAGACUCUAAACAGAUUUUGCUUAUAUAUAUUUUCAACCAAGUUGAAGCUAAACAAACAUAAUCAUGUUUUAGUCAAAUUUAUUAUUUUUAAAUUUGGUGAAGUUGGUUUGAUCCAGCAGUUUACAAAGCUCUUUCAGCCAGUAAUAAGCCAAAUGUGGGGGAAUUUAAAAUUCCGAGACUUCCCUGCAAUCAUUUAAACAAGUCAACUCAAGUUAAGCUCAUCUCCUUUUAUUCUUCUACAUUGGCUGCUCCAAUACCAUUAUUUUUCACAUCAUUUAGGCAAUUAAAGAAAAGAGCAGCAGAGACGGUGAAGGAACCAAGGUAACAUACCUUCUCCACAGUAGCUAAGUAUAUUUGUUAACUCUGAAUCCAUAUCUGAUUUGAAUCGCUUUUCUGUUUAGUAGGUUUUGAAACAAAUUCUUAUUAUCACACGCUUUCCUCCUUUGCCUCUUCUUUGUCUAAUAUUUCAGGUAAGCUUUUCUUUUAUUUUCAAAGAUGAAAGACUAUGCCUGUGGAUUUGAGAACCAUUCUUUGUUUAAGCUAUGGUUUUGGAGGAAUUUCAAUUCUUACUUCCACAUUUGAGUUUCCCAACAAUCUCUACUUUUUUUUAUUUUAUUUUAAAUAGAAAUGAUCAAAUUACUUAUUCUGCCAUUAAAUGUAACAAAAGACUAACAUCUCAUUUUCACAUUCAUCACACUAAGACAAGGGGUUGUUACUGCUUUGGUUUAACCAAAUAUAUAUAUUUAAAAGUGGAUAACAUUUGAUCUUAUAUUUUUGUUUACGUUAGUUUUGUAAUUUGAUAACUUUUCUCAAUUUUGAUCAUUGCAAUGAUAUUAAACUAUGGUAUUCUACCAUGUUAUCACCUAAAUCUUUUUAUAAAAUUUAUACUUUUUAGAUAAAUGUAACAUAAUAUCGGAGUGUUAUAUUAUCACAUAAAUCAAAAUUGAGAAAUUUGUCCAUUUUUGAGAUUAUUUUGAAAAAAAAAGUAUAGAGACUAAGUUAGAAAGUUGUUAAAUUCAAAGAUUACAAUAAACUGCAAUCAUUUAUAACUCUUUUUUUAUUAUAAAUUACUUAAUAUAACUCAAUUGAGGAUGUGUUUGAUAAACCAUUUAAAAUGAAAAUUUUAAAUAUUCAAAGUCUAUUUGGACAUCACAAAAUAUUUAGUUGGAAAUGUAAUUACGUUAGAUUCCGCAAUUAACAAAAGAAUGACUAAAUAUUUAAUUUUGAAAAAUUAGGUGGCUAAAACAAAAAAAUUUAUAGUUAAUUGACCAAGUUAUAAUAAACUAAAUAGUUAAAUGAAUAUUCAUAAAAUAUUUAUUAAUUUAAUUUUAAUAUAUUUCUGAUAACCAAAUUAUAAAAAUAUUCACUAUUGGUCUAACCAAAAUAAUUUACUAGUUUUACGGACAAGUAUAUUUUAAUUUAAAACUUAAUAAGAAAAAUAAUUUAUUAAUGAAAAAGGAAAUGACAAAAAAAAUUUAAGCUAUAAUAAUAAGAAAAUCAUAUUUUAAUAAUAAAAACCAAAAAAUUCACAAAAAAUAAUAACAAAAGUGAAAAGCCAAUUAGACAUUUUAGAAAGUUAAAAUGUUUUUAGUUCAAUCAAAGUACUUUGCACGUUGUAUCGAAAGUAUAUUAUUUAAAUUUUAUAAGAAAAAUAUUUUUUAAAUAAAUAAAAAGAACAAAAGGAAAAAAUAAAUAUAAUAAGAAAAAAUAUUUUACUGGAAAAAAAAAGAAUUCAUAAAAAUUAUACGAAAAGGGAAAAUCAAUUAAAUACUUUAUAAUCUUAUUUUAAAAGAACUCAUAAAAAAUUAAAUAUUUUAAAAGGGUAAAAAUGUUUUAUUUAAAUAUUUUAUAUACGUAUUUUAGAAGAUUUUAUAUAUUUUGGAAGAAUAUUUUAUUUUUUAAUUUAUUUUUGGAGCUGGCACUUAAUUUAUAUAUUGAUAGAUAUAUAAUCGUACAUUAAAAUCUAUCCUUCAUAAAGAAGUAAGUGUGACUAAUGGACGUAGUUAUUAUUACUACAUUGCAGAUUAUUUGGUGAAUUAUGGAACUUGUAGGACCAAUUUGUAAAGUGCUAAAGUGCUUAGGAGAUCCAACGUGUACAUACAUACAGCAUCACAGAAAACUUAAAGACAGGAUGAAUGAUCUUCAGGAGAGACUAGUUCGACUAAAUGCUAUGAAGAGAGAUGUGGAGCGGAGAAUAAAGGCAGAGCUUCGAUGGGGAAGACUUUUAAGGGAAGAAGUAGGGAAGUGGCUUCUAGGUGUGCAAACCGUCAAUGAUACAAUGCGGGACAUUGAUGAACGAAUGCAGAAUGUGUCUUGUUUUUCACGUGCACGCCUUGGAAAACGUGUUGCUCAAACAGUUGAACAAGUGGAGGGAAUUAUUGAACGAGUUAGGUUCCCUGAAGCUCUAGUAAUUGAUAAUCCAUCUACUGCUGGAGUGCCUUUUCAAUCGGAACAUUUAGAAGGUGAAACCAUGGUGAUAGAAGACAUUUGGAACUAUUUAAUGAGUGAAGAAAUUGGAAUGAUUGGAGUAUGUGGGAUGGGUGGGAUCGAGAAAACCACUAUCGUGAAGCACAUAUACUAUGAACUAUUGAAGGAGACUAAACCUUUGUUUGAUAAAAUCAUUUGGGUCACUGUUUCAAAGGAGCUCGACAUUCCCAAAUUACAGCAAAACCUUGCAGAUGCUAUGAAUAUUGUAGGUCUUCCAGAAUCUGAACCAGAGCGUGUAGCAGUAUUAAUGGAUAAAUUGGGACAAAGAAGAUAUCUGUUGAUCUUAGAUGAUGUUUGGAAAAAGUUCUCUCUGGCAGAGGUAGGGAUUCCUAAACCAACCUCCAGCAAUGGGAGUAAGUUGGUAUUAACUAGUUGAUCGAUUGAGGUUUGUAUAUCAUUGGACUGUAAGGUAGUCAAGGUGCCUCCACUCUCCAAUGAGGAGUCCAUGAAUUUAUUCUUGGAGCGUGGGGUUCUAAAGGUUCCAUCUUUGAAACAAAUUUUGGACGACGUUGUUAAGGAGUGUGAUGGGUUACCCCUUGCCAUAGCUGUAAUAGCUGGGAGCAUGAAGGGAAUAUAUGAUGUUGCAGAAUGGAGGAAUGCAUUAAGAGAGUUACGAGACCAUGUAAGAAGCGUGAAGGGCGCAGAUGUUGAAAUAUAUGAGCGAUUGAAGUUCAGUUUCGAUCGUUUGGGAGAUUUGAAAAUCCAAAGUUGUUUCCUUUAUUGCUCACUAUAUCCAGAAGACUAUAGAAUUCCAAGGGAGGAAUUAAUAGAAUAUUGGAUAGAUGAGGAAUUUCUUGGAACUGGGAGUCGACAAGAGUUGUAUGAUAAGGGUCAUACUAUAUUAAAUAGGCUGGAAAAUAAUUGUUUGUUGGAAAAGGCUGGUACAGAUACUGUGAAGAUACAUGAUGUAAUGAGAGAUACAGCAUUGUAUAUCAAAGGUUCUGGCUCCCGUUUUAAGGUGCAAUCUGGCAACGGACUAAAAGAACUACCAAGCAAGCAAGAAUGGGGAGAAGAUCUUGAAAAAGUUUCCUUCAUGGUGAAUAACGUAUCUGAGAUUCCUCCGCACUUGUCACCCAAUUGUGAGGUUCUUUCUACCUUAUUGUUGCAAAAGAAUAGAUCAUUACAAAGGAUUUCAGAAUCGUUCUUUCAGCAUAUGCAUAGACUCAACAUUCUUGAUUUUUCUUAUACCAAUGUCAAGCAACUGCCAAAUUCUGUGUCAAACUUGGAAAAGCUCAAAGCAUUGGUGCUUCGUGGAUACUACAACUUGAGAUAUGUGCCUUCACUAGAAAAGCUUGAGGCUGUAAGAAAGUUGGACCUCAGUCAUACAGCUAUUGAAAAGGUGCCUAAAGGUUUAGAAAUGUUAUUAAAUCUAACAUAUCUUAAUUUAUGUACUGAAAGCUUAAAGGAGCUGCCAGUUGCAAUUCUACGUAGGCUUUCUUGUCUGCAAUGUUUGAUAUUAUACGUUGAAUCAAGUAGUGUAGAAAUAAAUGGAUUCGAUGCUGCCAGAUUAACGAAGCUAGAGAUAUUUGAAGGGAGAUUUACUGAGUUGAUAGACUUUAAUGCCUACACCAAGUCUAUACAAGGUCAGGAGCUCACUUCUUAUUUGCUUGUCAUGGCGCCACUUAAAGCCAAGUUUAAAGUCAAUGAGAUGACCCUAGAAUUAACGUUUAAGUGUGACGGUGUAAGUGCACCUCGAUUCUGCCCAUCUUGAGUUGCGUGUUUCCUCCAAGAUUCUGGCGUUCAUGUUUCUUGCUUUUGUUUCGGGUGUGUCUGCCUUAUUCGUCUUGAAUAUUAUGGCAGUAAAGGGUUCCUGUUUGGGUGGUUCCUUUUGGUGAUGUUUCUUUUAGUUUUUUAUAUUUUUUUUAUUCUGAUUGAUGGUGCGUCUGAGAUUGAUUGUGAUUGAUGUUUGACAGAGUGACGAUUGGAGAAUGGUUUUUCUUGCACUGUUUGUUGCGCCGUGGCUUGUGUUCGGGUUUUAACUGUUGGUUUUCUUUGUGUUGUUUUUCUUUUCUUUUGGUGGCUGAGGGUCUUGUCCACUGGUUUUGAUGCAUGUGGAGUAUGCAUGUCGUUUUUUUUAUGUCAAUCGUUUUGUUUUUAUUUUUUAUUUCUGUUUCCUUUUUCCGUUGAUUUAUUGGGAUUUUUAAGUGGGUUAUGGUGCUGGGUGUAGGGUUUUUGCAUGGUUUUACGUUUAUCGCGUGGGACUUGAUUUGAUUGCAACCGUGGCCCACACGGUGGUUCAAUCUUACGUUUAUUUUUAUUUUUGUACGUUUCUUGGGGGUUAUUCUGCAUGGUUUUUACGUUCUUUUCUGGGGGCUAUAAAUGUUUUAACUUGAUCGUUAGGUUUCGUAUUUUUUGCUUGAUUCUUUUUAGUUUUUUGUUUCUGUUAUUCGGUGUUUCUUUAUGCGCUUUUGUGGGUGUUUUUCUGGGUUUUUUUGUGGUUUUGCGCCCUGCGUCUUGGUUGGUCAUUGGCCUGGUAAGGUUUUGAUUCUUUUUCGACCUGUUUGAGGUGUGGGGGAUCUCUCUUGAUUUUUUGUCGUUGUAUCUGUGUCUGCGGGGUAUGUGGCUCUUGGUUUUUUUUUUUCCUGUUCGAGGACUUUGUUUUUUUGCGGUGGAUCUUUUUUGUUUUCUUUCGGGUUCUUUUUCUGUGUUCUGGCAGGUUUUGGGGACUGUUUGGGUUAUGGAAGAGAGGUCGGAAAUUGAAAUCACUCCUAUGACGGAGGAACUAAGCGACCUUCUGGUGAGGCUUAAUUUUUCAGAAGAAGAAUCAGUCCAAAUUAUGUGCAAAAAGGAUGAUCACAGUGGACGUGGUUUCGAGUCAUGGGCAAUCGGUAAGAUUAUGGCGACAGAGACACCGAACAGGGAGGCGAUGUACAGAGUUUUCAAGUCGCUAUGGUACACGAAGGAAGAGGUGGAGUUUGUUGAGUUAAAGGAAGGGGCGGUGAUUGUUAAGUUUGGAUGCCAGGAGGACCGCAAUCGCAUUUUGAACCUAACACCGUGGUUAUUUGAUAGGUGCUUAUUCUCAAUGCUUCCUUUUGAGAAAGGAAAAGACAUCGAGUCUUAUGAGUUUGGGUGGUCGCCUUUUUGGCUUAGGAUUUACAACGUCCCUUUAGAGCUUAUGGAUAGACAGACGGCGCUGGAUGUUGGAAAUGCGGUGGGCGAGUUGGUGGCGAUAGAUUAGAAGGACCGGAAUGGGGGGUGGACAGAAUUUUUUAGGAUAAAAGUUAAAAUAAAUAUCCAAAAACCCUUAAGGAGAGUUGUGAAAUUACUGGAUAGAGAGGGUUCGGAAGUGACAGGGGUCAUAAAAUAUGAACGGCUCCCGGAUUGUUGCUAUGCUUGUGGGCUGAUAGGACACUCGAGCAAGAUUUGCAAUUUUAACAAGGAGAGUUUGGCGUUGACUGAGUCAAGACUACAAUAUGGGGGCUGGUUGAGGGCACCAACUGUGAAUUUGACCUAAAACAGAGAAAUAAGGAGAAAUAGAGUGGAAAUUGUUAAACAAAGUGAUCAGAGAAGUGAUGAUAGGGAGGAAAGCCAGUCAAAUUCGAGGGGGGAGAGUGGGCAGACGGGACAGGAAAAAAAGGAUAAAUCUGGGAAUGAAGAGAUAAUGUCUACCUCACCUGUGGGAAAAAAGUUUCAUAGAAUUAUAAGGGACGGUAUGGGAAGGAUUAAGAAUAAACGAAAGAGACACUGGGUUUCAGGAGAAGAAAACUUGGAAGAAAGUCCGACAAAAUUGGCAAAAAGGAGGCUGAUAGAAAGUUUUUAACCCUUGAAGGCGGUGGCUGGUGACCAGCCCCGCCAAGAACAAUGAAAAUCUUAUGUUGGAACUGUCGGGGGGUUGGUAACCCUGCGACAGUUCGCGAGUUAAAGCAACUUCUUGUUGCUAAUGCUCCUAAUAUUGUUUUCCUGUGCGAGACCAAAGUCCAUGCAAAUGAGUUGUCCCGUAUUCGUUUUUUGUGUAGGAUGGAGGGAUGUUUUGCUAUUAGCUCGGAUAGGAAGAGUGGUGGUAUGGCUCUGAUAUGGAGGGAAGGUGUGGAUGUUACGAUCCAGAAUUACUCUAAACAUCAUAUUGAUUCGGUGGCUUACAGGGAGGAAGGGGAGAAAGUCCAGUUCACUGGCUUCUAUGGGCAUACUGAGCUAAAUCUUAGAAAGGAAGCUUGGGAGAUGUUGAGAAGAGUGAAAAAUACGGUGAAUGAAGGAUGGAUUGUGGGAGGCGAUUUUAACGCUAUUUUAAACGAUUCUGAAAAAGAAGGUGGUCGCAGGAAGUCCAGAGCUGUUAUGGAUGAGUUCGGGGAUAUCCUGGAAGAGUUAGGUUUGAGGGAUGUGAAAACGAACAACGGUUGGUUUACGUGGUCAAAUAACAGAGAGGGAAACAGACUUGUGAAAGAAAGGCUGGAUAGGUUUGUCGUCUCGGACGAUAUCAUGGAAAAAAUGCCGUUCAUCGCUUCCUAUGUUGUGCGCCAGUCCAAGUCUGACCAUGAAGUCAUUAUUAUGGACCUGUUUGGUAAUAGACUGCAGGAGAAGGGUAAUGACCCGAAGAUUUUCUUCAGGUAUAAUCGGUGUUGGGCCAAGGAGAAGGAGGCCAGAGACAUCAUAUCUGGUAUUUGGGCUAACGAGGGACCAAAUUUGUUGGGGAAGAUGGAGUUGGUAAAGGAAAGGUUAGGCCCGUGGCAAUUCAAAAGGUACAGAAAAAUGAAAGACAAAGUUAAAAGCUUGGAAAAGGAUAUUGGGAGAUUUAUGGACAGUCCCAUGAACGAGAGAACUACCGUUUUACUUAAAGAAGCUCGAAGCAAGUUGGGCAAGUUGUAUGAAGCGGAGGAGUAGUAUUGGGCGACUAGGUCGAGGUCCCAGUGGCUUAGGGAAGGGGAUAGAAACAUUCGUUAUUUUCAUGUGCGGGCUUCGGGGCGUCGAAAAAAGAACAGCAUUGAUAGGCUUAAAGACGAGCAAGGAAUUUGGCAUAAGGACAAUGAGGAGAUUUGUCACGUUGCUUGGGAUUACUUUAAUGGUUUGUUCAAGACAUCCCUUGAGGCGGUGGACGAUGGAGGCCUACAUGUUAUUCCUAAAUGCAUCAAUGAGGAUACGAACAUGUGUUUGAAUGGGGAUUUUACUAAGAAUGAGACUAUGAUGGCCUUUUCUCAAAUGGAUCCCCGUAAGGCUCCUGGGAUUGAUGGGUUAUCGGGGAGUUUUUAUAAGGACCAUUGGUCGACUGUGGGCAACGAUGUGUUGAGCAUGUGUCAGGAUAUCCUUAAUGGCCAUAGGAGUAUUGAGCCUAUUAACGAAACUCUUAUUGUUUUGAUCCAAAAAUUAAAAACCCUUGUGUUAUGGCUAACUUUCGUCCCAUUAGCUUAUGCAGGUUUCUUUACAAGAUUGUUUCAAAAACCUUAGCGAACAGACUUAAGGCGGUUCUUCAUUCGUGCAUAAGCCAAAUUUAGAGUGCUUUCGUCCCUAAUAGGAUGAUUCAUGAUAACAUUUUGGUGGCUUAUGAGAUUAUGCAUUACCUCAGGAGUUCGAAAAAUGGCCCUAACAAGGGUUGUGUGGUCAAGCUCGAUAUGAGUAAAACCUACGACCAUGUGGAAUGGGGUUUUCUAAAGAAUGUCAUGAUUAAGAUGGGUUUCACUGAGAUUUGGGUUAACAAAAUUAUGGACUGCGUGUGUUCGGUUCGGUAUAGAGUUAAAUGUAACUCUAAGAUCUCCGACAUCAUUUUUUCGGAGAGAGGGCUCCGGCAAUGGGACCCGUUAUCCCCUUAUUUAUUUUUUUUUUGUAUGAAAGCUCUGUCCCGUAUGUUAAUUCAUGCUCAAACGUCAAAUUCUAUAAAGGGCGUUUGGGUUAGUAAGGACGGCCCGAAAAUUAACCAUCUAUUUUUUGCUGAUGAUGCUUUAUUGUUUAUCAGGAACAGACAGAGCGAGGCCGAGGUUGCUUCUAUGAUUCUGGAGUCCUUUGAAAAGAUGUCUGGCCAAAAAAUAAAUCUGGAUAAAUCGAUGAUUUAUUUCAGCCCCAAUACUUCCGGUUCUCAUCGUAUGAGAUUAAGCAACAUCCUCAAGAUGAGGGUGGUUGAUAACCUUGAUACCUACUUGGGUCUGCCUAUCUCGAUUGGCAAGAAAAAGAUUACGGCGUUCCAAGGCAUGCUAGAUAGGAUGGCCAACAGAAUUAAUAGUUGGCCCAAAAGGUUACUGUCGUAUGGUGGCAAAGAGGUGUUCGUUAAGUCGGUCCUUCAGUCGAUUCCCACGUAUGCUCUGUCGAUUUUCUUUACUCCUGUUGGUAUUCUGGAUAAGAUCCAGUCCUUGAUAAGCAGGUUUUGGUGGAGUAGUAAGGAUAAGAAUCGGGGCUGAAAUUGUUUGGGGUGGGAUUAGGUCUGUCUCCCGAAAGGCAUGGGGGUAUAGGGUUUAGGGACAUCCGGCGUUUCAAUGUGGCUUUGCUUGGGAGACAAGUGGGGAGGUUGGCGAGCUGCAAAGACACCCUCUGUUUUCAAGUUCUUAGUGCCAAGUAUUUCCCGGAUGGUGAUGUCUUUCGGCCUAAGAAGGUGGACAAGCCUUCCUUCACGUGGAAAAGUAUCAAUAGAGCUGCUUGUAUUUUGCGGGAGGGUUUCGGGUGUGGGAAAUGGUAGAAGGAUUGAUCUGUGGUAGGAGAAUUGGGGUUUUGAAGGGCUCUCAGGUGAGUCAAUCCGUCUAAACAGAAGGGAUGUGCAUGAGACCAGGGUGUGUGACUGUGAGCUUUUCGAUGGAUUGAGUGUUGGAUGGAAGGAGGAUAGGGUUCGGGAGAUUUAUGGGGAGUUUUUGGGGGGCCAAAUAUGUAAUAUUCCCAUUCUUCAUAAUGGCCCCGAAGAUCACCGUAUUUGGUUUCACAACCCGUUGGGGUCCUAUUCAAGAAAAUCCGCAUAUUCAUGGAUGACGUUAAAACAUGUGGGUUUUGGCCCCCAUCGGUAUGUUUGGAGGCUGAUAUGGAAACUUCGAACCCUACCAAAAAUUAAGGUUUUUUGUUGGCGUCUUUGUCAUGAUAUUCUUCCGGCGUAUGAGAACAUCUCUAAAAUUAGGAGGGAUUUUAACUGCUUUUGUCCUCGUUGUGGUAUCGAAAGGGAGACCCUUAUUCAUGCUGUAAAAGACUGUCAGAAAGCUAGAGCAGUUUUGACUUACGGGGGCCUCGAUAAUACUCUUGUGGAAGGUAGUUUUCAAAGUUGUGUGGACUGGCUUGAAGAGGCAACCCGGGUGCUGGAUAGUGUGGCUUUCUCAAAUUUUGUCACUGUGCUUUGGAAUAUCUGGAAUUGCAGAAAUAAUAAAGUUUUUAGAAAUAUGGAGGAAGAGCCAAAAGUUAUCUGGGACAGAGCUGCUACUUUGAACAGGGAUUUUUGGAUUUUUAAUUUGGUGAAUAAUCCGUUGGUUCCUAAGCCGGUCGGGGUAAAGGGGUGGCAGAAGCCUGGUAUUGGGAUGGUUAAAAUAAAUGUUGAUGCUGCUGUUGAUGGAAAAAGGAUGAGCUUCGGGGUUGUUGCCAGGGAUCAUGAGGGCUUUUGUGCUCGGGGGGCGUGCAGGUGUUAAGGAAAAUCAUGCGGGUGUGGAAUGGGCUGAGCUGGUAGCAGUUACUGAAGGUUUGGAGUUGGCGAGGGAGAAAAGUUGGCUGAAGCUGGACUUGGAAUCGGAUUGUGCAAACUUGGUUAAUAGGCUGAAAAUGACGGGAGUUGACUAUUCUACUUAUGGCUAUCGCAUUCGGCAAUUGCUUCAUUCUUUCGAUUUGUGUUUCAAGUUUAAUUUUGUUUGGGCCCCGCGCUGUUGUAAUAAAGCGGCGGACCAACUUUGUAACUGGGCUUUAAAAAAUAAUUGCUCUAAGGUGUUUGACAUGGACUACCCGAGUGUGAUCCAUGAUGUAAUCUUGAAGGAAGCUAUAAAUUGAGUCGUCGACCUUCGGGUCUUUCUAUCAAAAAAAAAAGUGUGACGGUGUAAGUGACAGCGGAGUCUUCGAACUGGCGAAAAUCAUAGUGGCAAACAAAGGUACGAUCGAAUCAAAUCCAUAUUAUGUUAAUCUACUUCUAUGAUAUUUAUUUGGUUAGUGUUGAUAUCCAUAUUCUUUUUUGUUAUAAAAUUUUCUAUUCACCAUGUAUCGAGUUAACUACAAAUACAGUAUUCAAAUUAAGGGUGAAAAUUGAAAUUAAAUUAUAUAUUUUAAUAAUAAUAAAAAUGUAAUUUUAUUAUUUUAAUAAUUUAUAUUUUUAUACUUUAGGGGACACGGCUGGCUUCGCCACUUAUUCAAACUGUAUUAAUAUGUGAUUUGGUACCAAAAUAAAAAAUAAAAAUUGCAUUUAGCCACUUGAGCUUUCAAAAUUUUUAUUAAUCUGGUCCAAACAAUAAUCAAACCUGCUUAUGUCGCAUCAAAAUCAGUUUUCAACGUUUCAUAAUCACAUUUUGAGGAAAUUGAAACAUGAGAAAUGCUUUAUAAAUAUAGAAUCUAUUAAAUCCAAUAUUCAAGUAUAAUUUAUAAAUACUCUUUUAUGCAGCUAAAUAUUGAAUAUGUGUAGAAUUUGUGUCAUUUGUAUAUUCGCAUUUUAUUUAUUUUGAGUAUAUAUACCUUUUAUUUUUUUCGCAUUUUUUAACGGUUGAAGGUGUGGAAUCUGUGUACUUUUAACGGGAAAAUGAUUUAGUGGAAGUGGUUGGUCGGGUGGAUCCUGCUGUAAUCUUACGUAAGCUGCGAAAAUAUACCUUUGCUAAGUUAGCGUCUGUGGGUCAAAUUAAUCCGCCUCAUUUACCCAAGAGAGUAAUUUUAAGUAGAUGCCAGAUCCGAAGAGAAGAUCCAGUGGUUCUUCCUAUUGAUCUUAUGUUACUGAGAAUUUUGGAAUGCCACAACGUAAGAAGCUUAAGCGAUAUCUCCAUAUUCUUCCAACAAACAAACCAGUUAAGGUCCUGUUCAGUUGAAGAUUGUAAAGGGAUAGUGUAUAAGCCCAAUUUCGCCUGAGCCCACUACCCAAUAAACUUAGCCCAAUACACCACAACCCAUACCAGAAAAUAAACCAAAUAAUGAACAGCCCGUUUACAAACUUUAACCCAAUGACAGACCCUAACCCAACUACCACAAGCCCAAACCCGGAGCCCAAUACCAGGCCCAACAGAGCCAGAAACCAAAGUCGGCAUAAGGUUUCAGAAACUGAAACCCUAAGCGCUGCCCCUGCUUCAGACUGUUGGUCUCCUAAGCGCCGCCUGCUUUAGACUUUUGGUCUUCUACCACCACCGCCGCGCAUCUGUCACCGCUUCUGUACCAUCCACCGUCGCCCAUCAAUCUUCUGCAGAAAGAAAAAGAACACGCAAGCAGCAAGAUAAUAGAAAAAUAGGAGCAGAUCGGCUAUAAAAAGCUGAGCCCCAUCUCUGUAUUUUUUUCUUCUUCUUUUUUACAACAUUUUGAAUACAAAAAAAGCAGAUCAAAAAAAGAACAAAAAGGUUGAUUCCAAAAUUCUUCUUUCUGUUCUUGUAUAUUAUCUUAUUUUUUUAUUCUCUGUUUUUUUUUGCAAUUUUUUUUCACUAUUCUUUUAAACUACAAACGAAACGAAAGAGAAAAGAAAAAGGAUACUUACCGGUCUCGAAAGCCCGUCGCCGGAGACAUCUUCUGUGUUGAAAUCGGAUCAAAAAAUGGACGAAAGGUCUCUCCUUUUUCGGCUUGUUGGGUCUGAAGGAUCGGGUCUUAGAGUGGGGAUCGAAAACGGGGUUAAAAACCCCUCUUUUUCUCGCUCUAACCAUCGCCCAUGACGGAGCCUCGGCCCCUGCUAGGCCGUUCACCGGCGGGGACAAUGGCCGAUUUCUGGGUUUGUUAAAAGGGGGGGAGAGGAUUUUGCUUUUUUUUUUUAAGUUGAGACAGAAAAUGAAGUUAAAUAUAUAUAUAUAUUUGGUUUAAAUAACCAUUUUGAAACGGCGC
RNAcentral lists this long non-coding RNA (55507 nucleotides) under Gossypium barbadense (sea-island cotton). RNAcentral's name for it is "long non-coding RNA (GBAR_LNC013170)". Lineage: Eukaryota; Viridiplantae; Streptophyta; Magnoliopsida; Malvales; Malvaceae. The record is from RNAcentral.